RNAcentral lists this long non-coding RNA (46664 nucleotides) under Zea mays. Its description in RNAcentral is "long non-coding RNA (ZMAY_LNC004256)". The record is from RNAcentral. Lineage: Eukaryota; Viridiplantae; Streptophyta; Magnoliopsida; Poales; Poaceae.
AUCCCGUGACCGUCUCAUCAACCCCGCGGAGAAUCGUGUGUGCCUUGCCGAAGAAAUAGAGAAGGGGAGAGGUUGAGCGCCGUAGCCGACGUUCCGCUUGUGCGCCGGGAGGAUCUUCGCAACCUGGGGGCGUGAUAGAAGCAUCAGAUUUCGCGGAGAGUCGUCUAUCACUGGGGAAUUGCUCGUCGGCGCAAAGGUUCUUCCGCCGGGCCGCUACCUCCGCGAGCAGGGUACGUUGUCACUUCAAACACUGGUAAAUAGCCUUCAAAGAGUUUGCUGUUGUCUCCUCGUCGUGUAGCACCAAACACAGUAGAGUAUAGAGCAUCAGGGAGCAAGAUUGGGGGUGCUCACUGGCGCGGCUCCGCCGUGGGGAACGCGGGCGCUGCCCGGGUGUCGCCGGGGUAAGGGGGAGUGCCUUUUGGCCGUCGGUUCGAGGGUGCGCGGCUCAGAUUAAGUCAUAGGGUAAUGCUUCGGCCGGGGGUAUCCACUGUCCGAUUGAAGAUGAAAAGCCGAGAUUUGAUCAAGGCGUGGGCGUCUCCUGGACCGUUGAUCGCCGAUCGAGCGUAUUAGAUUGGAUCCAGCUUCAUAGAAUCUAGGACCUCGAUUUGGAAUCCAGUGGUCUCGGUUACGUACCCGUGGGCGCGUGGAUGGGAUUUAAUCCAUGCCGUCGCUCCGAGAUCUCACGGUCGGGGUUAGGUAUCGGUUCAAUUUAGUUAGAAACUAAUCUACGCCAUUGAAUUUUGAUCCAACGGCUCUGAUUACACCAUACCCCUUCGCCUGGCUAUUUUGUUAAAGAGACCCUGAGGUAAUUAUUAAUAAACCCGUCGUUCACGACUAUUGAGAAAACAUAACAAAUAGGUCCUUUUAUUUUGGAAUUAGCCCCUGACUUAUUGUAAAAUAGAACCGCCAUCCAUAGUUCACUGAGUUACAUAAAAUUAAAUUCGAAAAUUUGUUUUCUAGUAUAAAAGUUAAUAUAUAAACCUUAGAAAAUCCAUACUUUUCACAUUUUAACUUCGAUUUUAGUGGUUCUCAAACCUGCGAUCUCGUAGUGACACGUAGAAUAUUUCUAUGAUGUUUGUUCUCAUGUUUUGGUGUAAUGUUAUAUUAUCUAUUAUUUGUUUAUUUGUAUGUAUUGCUAUGAUUAGAAGUGAUGUGACGAGGAAUUUGAAGCCCAACUUUUGGGGAAGCGUCUGGACAGUUGGUUAUCGCAAGUAUAAGCCAAGUUGUGCCCUUGAUCACAUUCUUUCAUCUAAUAAUGUUCAUGAUAAUCACCGUGACAUGCUUAGGUUAACCUGAUAAGACCUAAUAGGUUACCUAGUUUUGUUACCCUACACCAUGCGUACAAAAUAAUUAUUGGGUAGUCUUGCUAUGCUCUACCUGGUUUUGGAAAUAAUAUUAUAUCUGAAUUAUGAUCAUGCUUUAUCGUUAUUGUUGGCUUAAUUAUUAUUCAUGAUAAGAUUAUUGUGUUAAUUAGAACAUGGAUCGACCACCGAGAAAACAGUGCUAGCAUAAGGGUGGUAUGAGACGUCCUUGACUAACUAAUUAGGAAAGCUAGUGAAGGACUAUCUUACCCGAAAGGGGCAAGGGUGGUAUGAGGAGCUACCGGUAUAGGGAGGUUCUCGGGUCGAUCAUGCUGCGAUGGCUUUUCGAACGAGUGAUUCCUAUAUCGUCCCCUUCUCAACGAAACUGUAACGGGUUAUUGGAACUUUGUAAAGGCCUUGUAAUGGAUCCCUAUCAAUUCACCCAGGAGUGGCUAAGAGCCCUAUAAACCCUGGCUAGAUGGGAUACACGACUUGUGGGUAAAUAUGCGCAAGCUCUGCAGAAUGUAAGUCGUGCUCACAAUCAAGAGUGGCUCGAACCCUCACAUUGCGUUGUGGGAUUUAUUCAUCAUGGCUAUCAAUUAUUUAAUUGGGUUGAUAUUCACUUAUACUUAGUAAUUGCUAAUAAAAUUUUGACCAACUUAUUAAAAGCAAUGCUCAAUCUUAACCAUUUUUUCUUGGUAAGCCUUACACUACACGUGAGCCCCCCACCGUAAAUGAGCUCAUAUACAUUAUUCCUCACACCUGCUGAGCGAUGAUCAUAUGAGAGCUCACCCUUUCUAUAAUCACACCAAGUCAAGAACAGGUACUGCAAGAUGAGGAGCAUGAAGGAUGCUAAGAUGAGUUCGGAGAGGUCUAGGCCUGUCGGGUACCGUAAUUAGGGGUACCCCCAAUACUCCUUAACAUGGCUGGAAAACAUCUUCAGAACAAACCGUAAAGAUUGAUAGGCACUGUUCAAGUCAAGGCCUCGUCUACCAAGGGACGCGAUCUCGUCUCGCCCGAGCCCGACCUCGGGCAAGAACUGCAGUCCCGGACGGAUUUACGCCUCGCCUGAGGGCCUCCUCAGGCAGUGGGCGCACCCUCGACUCGCCCGAAGCCAAGCUCGGGCAAACUUUGUCGUGCAGCGACCUCGGCCAAAUGGCCUUACCAACCGACCGUAUCGCAUGCGCAUUUAAUGUGGGGAUCGCCUGACACCUUAUCCUGACACGCGCGCCUCAGUCGGCAAGGUCGAAGUGACCGCAGUCACUUCGCCCCUUUACUAAUCGUUCUGACAGGAAAACAGCACUAUUCACCCCAUUCCGACUACUGUGCCAACCACCAGGGUAAAACUAACGACAGUAAGUCAUGACCUCCCCCGAGUUCAGCCUCGGGCGCAACAGGGAGCUCUGCCUCGCCUGACCUCAGGCCUCGGCCUCAGCCUCGGCCUCGGGAGAAGGUCUUCGCCUCGCCUGACCCCAGGCCUCAGCCUCGGCCUCUGGAGAAGGUCUCCGCCUCACCCGACCCAGGCCUCAGCCUCGGCCUCGGGAGAAGGUCUCCGCCUCGCCUGACCUCGGGCCUUAGCCUCGGCCUCAGGAGGAGUCACAUCCUCGCCCGACCUCAGCCUCGGCCUCAGGAGAAGUUUCCGCCUCUCCCGACCUCGGCCUCGGACCGACUACGCCACUGGGGAUACAUCAUUACCCUACCCCUAGCUAGCUGCCUCAGGCUACGAAGGAACAAGACCGGUGUCCCAUCUAGAUUACUCUGGUAACAGGUAAUGAUGGUUCCCUGUGUGCGUCCAUGACGUUGGUUGUUCUCAACUCUCUACGAAAGCAAAGAAAUGUCAGCAGGACCCCGGGCCGCAACGCCAGCUACGCUUCUACAGGGCUCAAGUACUUCUCUGUCGGCCAUGUUAGCACAUAGCUACACCCCCAUUGUACAGCUGGACCAUCUCCUUGUAUCUAUAAAAGGGGAUGUCCAGGGCCUUCCUAAAAAAAGGAGGCGAGGGAGGCAGAGUGGGAGAGACGCGAAGGAGGCUAACUCAGACACCUCACCUCAAGGCCGGACCCUCUCCCUCUCUCUCUCGCGACGCUUGUAACCCCUACUACGAGCACCCCGGUGCAAGAUAAUAUAAGCCUCAUCCUCCCUCUUGUGUUCCAUCUUGCAUCAACCCAUCUGGGCAGGGACACGCAGCGACAAAUUCACUAGUCGGUUGAGGGUCCUCGCGGCUCCGAAAUGCCGACAGUUGGCGCGCCAGGUAGGGGUCUGCUGCGUGUUAACAAAUAAGUUCCAAAUGGACAAUCUUCGGCAGCCUCUUCAACCCAGGACGGUGCUCCGCUUCGGGAGUCUCGAGUUCAUGUCCCGCGACGGCAGCUACGACAUGGUACUCCUCCCCUCGCAGCACGACAGCAACGACGGUCGUCGGCUCGCCCGGCGGAGGCGAACUCGACGACGGCAUCUCCCCACUAUAGAAGAGGAACAUCCGGGUUUGCCCCGCCACCCUCCUCACCGGAGGAGGAGGAGACGAGGCAACCGUGGCCAGGCAGGAGGCGACACUUCGUCGGCUGUUGGGCCAGGGCGAGCCGACGACACCGGCACCCCUGCGGGGGACAUGUCAGGUGUUGUCCUCGCACCUGGGACAACGACGGGUGUCGCUUCCCAGCAAUGUGCCAACCCCAAGCGGACUGAUGACGCCGGCACCCUUGCGAGGGACUUGUCGGACAUUUGUCUCGCACCUGAGAUAACGACACACUCCGUCCCCGAUGCGACUUCACCACCAUCCAUCAACCAGGAGGUACUAUUAGUUUUCCAUCCUGUUCCCUUUAGAUUCAGCUUCGAUCCACCAAGCGACCCCGCUUCGGUGAGCGCUUUCGCAAGGGCAUAUCUUGACCUUCUCGGGUACCAUAUGUGGUCAACUUGGGACCGACUGAUGGCCGUCUCAACCUCUGGACCCGCGGGUUCCGAGGAAGAAGACGACCCCGACUUCAGUUGGGAUUUCUCCGGACUCCGUGAUCCCAGUGCAAUGCGAGACUUCAUGUCUGCAUGUGACUACUACCUCUCCGGUUACUCUGACGUUGGCCACAGCCUUGACGACGAGGGUUACGACCCAAGUCGCGAGUGUUUCCACAUCGAUCAGGGGGAUCACGAUGAAGACAACCACCUCGGCAUGCCAGGAGACGACGACGCCCCUGUGCCUGCACCUCGCGUUGAGAUCCCGCGGGAGCUAGCUGUGGUCCGAGUCCUUGCGGGGGGUCAGGACCCACAGCUCGAGCAACUCCGCGAGAUGCAGGCCAAGCUCAACGAAGAAACGGGACGACUUGUGCAGCUCCGACAAAACAUCGAGCAUGAGUGGGCAGGCCGAGCACUCGCCGGAGGAGCGCGUCAUCGGGCCCGGGGCGUCCAACGCCGUAUCAUUGACGAUGCCAGGGCAGGGCUGCCCCCGGCCUUCAGCGGGGCCGGCCAGAACCUAGCUGCAGCGGCAAUGCUACUUCGAACAAUGUCGGAGCCAUCCACCACCGAGGGGCGACAUAUCCAGGGCAAACUCAAGGAUCUCCUGGAAAAUGCCGCCGUCCGACGAGCCGAGAGCUCUGCCUCCUGAAGGCGAGGGUGCCCCUCGGAGCAUCGCGUAACGUCCUCCCGACGCAUGCGGGAGGCCUCGGUCCACACCGAGCGCACAGGGGACGGGACGCCUGCAGCCCCGGACCGCCUCGGCAGCGAGCAACACCGCCGCGACCGUCGAGCCCGCCUUGAGGAAAGGGUGCGCCGAGGCUACCACCCCAGGCGCGGAGGACACUACGACAGUGAGGAGGAUCGGAGCCCCUCGCCUGAACCACUAGGUCCGCGAGUCUUCAGCCGGGCCAUACGAUAGGCGCUGUUCCCGGCCCGGUUUCGAGCCCCGACUACCAUCACCAAGUACUCAGGGGAGACAAGGCCAGAGUUGUGGCUCGCGAGGCUGGCGUGCCAGUUGGGAGGGACGGACGAUGACAACCUCAUCAUCCGCAACCUCCCCCUUUUCCUCUCCAACGCUGCCCGGGCCUGGCUGGAGCAUCUGCCUCCUGCGCAGAUCUUCAGCUGGGACGACCUAGUCAAGGCCUUCGCUGGAAAUUUCCAAGGUACUUACAUGCGCCCUGGGAACUCGUGGGAUCUCCGGAGCUGCCGCCAGCAGCUAGGGGAAUCCCUGCGAUAAUACAUCGGGCGGUUUUCCAAGCAGUGCACCGAGUUGCCCAACAUCACCGACUCGGAUGUCAUCGGAGCAUUCCUCGCCGGCACCACUUGCCGAGACCUGGUGAGCAAACUGGGACGCAAGACUCCCACCAAGGCGAGCAAAUUAAUGGACAUAGCCACCAAGUUUGCCUCUGGUCAGGAGGCGGUCGAAGCCAUCUUCCGGAAGGACAAGCAGCCUCAGGGAAGACAGAAGGAAGACGUCCCUGAGGCGUCCGUCCAGCGUGGCACGAAGAAGACCAGGAAGAAGGCGCAAGCAAAACGCGACGCCGUUGACGCGAAUCUCGUCGCUGCUACCGAGCACCGGAAUCCUCGGAAGCCUCCCGGAGGGGCCAGCAUGUUCGACAAGAUGCUCAAGGAGUCGUGCCCCUAUCACAGGGGUCCCGUCAAGCACACCCUUGAAGAGUGCGACAUGCUCCGGCGUUACUUCAAUAAGGCUGGACCCUCGGCAGAAGGUGGCAAGGACCAAGGCAACAACAAGAAGGGGGGCGACAAGGAAGAAGAGUUCCCGGAGGUCCACAACUGCUUCAUGAUCUACGGCGGGCAAGUGGCGAAUGCUUCGGCUCGACACCGCAAGCAUGAGCGCCGAGAGGUCUGCUCGGUGAAGGUAGCAGCGCCGGUCUAACUAGACUGGUCCGACAAGCCCAUCACCUUCGACCAAGGCGACCACCCCGGCUGCGUACCGAGCCCAGGAGGUACCCACUCGUCGUCGACCCUAUCAUCGGCAAUGCUAGGCUCUCCAAGGUCCUCAUGGACGGAGGCAGCAGCCUCAACAUCAUCUACGCCGAGACCCUAGGGUUCUUGGGGAUCGAUCUGUCCACAAUCCGGGCCGGUGCAGCACCUUUUCACGGGAUUGUCCCCAGCAAGCGUGUCCUGCCCCUUGGGCAACUCGAUUUGCCCGUCUGCUUCGGAACUCCCUCCAACUUCCGAAAGGAAACCCUCACUUUCGAGGUAGUCGGGUUCCGACGGACCUAUCACGCGGUGCUGGGAAGACCGUGCUACGCCAAGUUCAUGGCCGUCCCCAACUACACGUACCUCAAGCUCAAGAUGCCAGGCCCCAAGGGAACCAUCACCGUCGGAUCCACGUACCGCCACGCUUACGAGUGCGACGUGGAAUGCGUGGAGUACGCUGAGGCCAUCGCCGAGUCCGAGGCCCUCAUCGCCGACCUGGAUUGCCUCUCCAAAGAGGCGCCUGAUGCGAAGCGCCACGCUGGCAACUUCGAACCAGCUGAGGCGGUUAAGUCUGUCUCUCUCGACCCCAGCAACGACGCCGACAAGAAAGUCAGGAUUAGCUCCGAGCUCGACCCCAAAUAGGAAGCAGUGCUCGUCGACUUUCUCCACGCAAACGCCAAAUUUUUUGCGUGGAGUCCCUCAGACUUGUCCGGCAUACCGAGGGAUGUCGCCGAGCACUCGCUGGACAUCCGAGCCGGUGCCCGACCCGUGAAGCAGCACCUGCACCGUUUUGAUGAAGAAAAGCGUAGAGCCAUAGGCGAGGAGGUCCACAAGCUAAUGGAUGCAGGGUUCAUCAAAGAGGUAUUCCAUCCAGAAUGGUUAGCUAACCCUGUGCUUGUAAAGAAAAAAGGUGGGAAAUGGAGGAUGUGCGUAGACUACACUGGGUUAAAUAAAGCAUGUCCAAAGGUUCCCUACCCUCUGCCUCGCAUCGAUCAAAUUGUGGACUCCACUGCUGGGUGUGAAACCCUGUCUUUCCUCGAUGCCUAUUCAGGCUAUCACCAAAUCAAGAUGAAAGAAUCCGACCAGCUCGCGACUUCUUUUAUCACACCUUUUGGCAUGUAUUGUUAUACUACUAUGCCAUUUGGCUUGAGGAAUGCAGGCGCAACAUACCAAAGGUGCAUGAACCACGUGUUCGGGGAGCACAUCGGCAGAACGGUCGAGGCUUACGUCGAUGACAUCGUUGUCAAAACAAGAAAAGCCUCCGAUCUCCUCUCUGACCUUGAGAUAACAUUCAGGUGUCUAAGAGCGAAGGGCGUAAAACUCAAUCCCGAGAAGUGUGUCUUCGGAGUCCCUCGAGGCAUGCUCCUUGGGUUCAUCGUCUCCGAACGAGGCAUCGAGGCCAACCCGGAGAAAAUCGCGGCCAUCACCAACAUGGGACCCAUCAAAGAUUUAAAAGGAGUACAAAGGGUCAUAGGAUGCCUUGCGGCUCUGAGCCGCUUCAUCUCGCGCCUUGGCGAGAAAGGACUGCCCUUGUACCGCCUCUUAAGGAAGGCCGAGUGCUUCACUUGGACUCUCGAGGCCGAAGAAGCCCUCGGAAACCUUAAAGCACUCCUUACUAAUGCGCCCAUCUUGGUGCCCCCCGUUGCGGGAGAAGCCCUCUUGAUUUACGUAGCCGCAACCACUCAGGUGGUCAGCGCCGCGAUCGUAGUCGAGAGACGAGAAGAGGGGCAUGCACUGCUCAUCCAGAGGCCUGUCUACUUCAUCAGCGAGGUGCUAUCCGAGACCAAGAUCCGCUACCCACAAAUCCAGAAGCUACUGUACGCGGUAAUUCUAACACGGCGAAAGCUACGACACUACUUCGAGUCUCAUCCAGUGACUGUGGUGUCAUCCUUCCCCCUAAGAGAGAUCAUCCAGUGCCGAGAGGCCUCGAGUAGGAUAGCAAAAUGGGCAGUGGAACUCAUGGGCGAAACACUUUCAUUCGCUCCUCGGAAGGCCAUAAAGUCCCAAGUCUUGGCAGACUUCCUGGCUGAAUGGGUCAACACCCAAUUGGAGACAGCUCCAAUCCAGGCCAAACUUUGGACCAUGUACUUCAAUGGGUCGCUUAUGAAAUCCGGAGCAGGAGCUAGCUUGCUCUUCAUCUCACCCCUCGGGAAACAUGUGCGCUACGUGAUACGCCUCCAUUUUCCGGCAUCAAACAACGUGGCUGAAUACGAGGCCUUGGUUAAUGGGUUGCGCAUCGCCAUUGAGCUAGGGGUUCGGCGCCUCGACGCUCAUGGCGAAUCGCAGCUCGUUAUUGACCAAGUCAUGAAGAACUCUUACUGCCGCGAUCGAAAAAUGGAGGCCUACUGCGACGAAGUUCGGCGCUUGGAAGAUAAGUUCUACGGGCUGGAACUCAACCAUGUUGCUCGACGGUACAACGAGACUGCGGAUGAGCUAGCUAAAAUAGCCUCGGGACGGACGACGGUUCCCCCGGACGUCUUCUCCAGGGACAUAUAUCAACCAUCCGUCAAACUCGACGACGCGCCCAAACCCAAGGUAACCUCGGCCCAGCCCGAGGUACCCUCGGCCGCUGAGGGUGAGGCCCUGCGCGUCGAGGGAGAGCAGAAUGGGGUUACGCCAAACCUGAACUGGCAGACCCCGUACCUGGAAUAUCUCCUCCGAGGAGAGCUGCCCCUCGACAAGGCCAAAGCUCGGCGACUGGCUCGGCGCGCCAAGUCAUUCGUUUUACUGGGUGAUGAAAAAGAGUUGUACCACCGCAACCCCUCAGGCAUUCUCCAACGAUGCAUAUCCGUCGCCAAAGGACAGGAGCUGUUACAGAAAAUACACUCAGGGGCUUGCGGUCACCAUGCAGCACCUCGAGCCCUCGUGGGAAACGCUUUCCGACAAGGUUUCUACUGGCCGACCGCGGUGGCUGACGCCACUAGGAUUGUACGCUCCUACCGAGGGUGUCAAUUCUACGUGAGACGGACACACCUACCCGCUCAGACCCUGCAGACAAUACCUAUCACUUGGCCGUUUGCCGUAUGGGUUCUGGACCUCGUCGGUCCCUUGCAGAAGGCACCCGGAGGCUUCACGCACCUGCUGGUCGCCAUCGACAAAUUCUCCAAGUGGAUCGAAGUCCGACCCUUAACCAGCAUCGGGUCUGAGCAGGCGGUGGCGUUCUUCACAAAUAUAAUCCAUCGCUUUGGGGUCCCAAACUCCAUCAUCACCGACAAUGGCACACAGUUCACUGGGAAAAAGUUCCUGGACUUCUGCGAAGACCACCACAUUCGUGUGGACUGGACCGCCGUAGCUCACCCAAUGACAAAUGGGUAGGUGGAGCGCGCCAAUGGCAUGAUUUUGCAGGGACUAAAACCAAGGAUCUACAACGACCUCAACAAGUUUGGCAAGCGGCGGAUAAAAGAGCUACCCUCGAUAGUUUGGAGUCUGAGGACGACGCCGAGCCGGGCCACGGGCUUCUCGCCGUUUUUCCUAGUCUAUGGGGCCGAGGCCAUCUAACCCACGGACUUGGAAUACGGUUCCCGAGGAUAAAGACAUACGACGACCAAAACAACCAGACCAGCCGAGAGGAUUGAUUGGACCAGCUGGAAGAGGCUCGGGACGUAGCCUUACUACACUCGGCGCGGUAUCAGCAGUCUCUGCGACGCUACCACGCCCGAAGGAUUCGGCCCCGAGGCUUCCAAGCGGGAGAUUUGGUGCUUCGGCUACGACAAGACGCUCGAGGGCGCCACAAGCUUACUCCUCCCUGGGAAGGGCCGUUCAUCAUCGCCAAAAUUCUGAAGCCCGGGACAUACAAGCUGGCCAACGAUCGAGGCGAAGUCUACAGCAACGCUUGGAACAUCCAACAGCUACGUCGCUUCUACCCUUAAAAUGUUUCAAGUCCUUCAUGUAUCUCGCUUUCUUUCCAUGUAUAAAUAAAGUCUAACCAUCAAGGAAGGAUCAGCUUUGCCUCGGCAAAGCCAGACCCUCCCUCGGGGGCUAGAAGGGGGGAACCCCCUCUGCGUCAAAAUUUUCCUCGGAAGAGUUUUCUACCAAAACGACUUUCGUGCUUUUCGACUAUAUCGAUAACGGAAUCCUAAAAACAACGAGAGGAACCUUAAACGGCAAGGCCGACCGAGCCGAGGGACUCCUACGCCUCCGGGAUACGGAUACCUCACUCAUCACCUUCCGCGAAAAGUAACUCACGCUCGGAUAAGCGAUUCUGCUACCGAACAAGUCCUAACGCUCGAAACAAGAGGAAAGAAAACACAGCUUUAUACUCUGACACUAAAAAUGUUUAGGCCUCAGCGGCCACAAGAAACAUACGCAUACUUAAAACAAACUGUUCCUACAGGCUCAGGUAUCGGCAGGGGGAGGAGCAGCACCCUCGGUGUCGUUUCCACCCUCGGCAGAAUCAGGCCUGGCCUCAGACGGCGACACGGGCAGAAGGAUCUCCACCUCAAAGGAGGAAGCCAGCGUCGCGCUUGGGCCCUUGACAGCCGCGUCAAGCCUUUGGACCUCGGCUAAGGUGGCCUCCUCUUCGUUGGGUAAGCAGUACCCCUCGCUGACCCGCUCCAGAUCCACGUCGUAGUGGGAAGCGAGGACGGCGAAGGCCCGCCUAACGCCGUGGUGCAGCGCCCCGCGGAGUCUGCUGCGCACAUGGCCGCCCAAGGCCCGCAAGUGACUCUGGGGGGAGCUACCCGAGGGGAUGUCGUCGAGGCCAAAGGCCCGGCAAAAAGCCGAGAUAGCCUCGGACAUGGCCAUGCGGUCGGCCUCCUUCUGCUCAGCCGCUUGGGCAAGCGCCUUGCAGUUCUCAACGGACUCGUUAAGAGCUGUCUCGAACCCUGCAAAAAGUCGGACAAUAUUCUUCAGACACGAGGUGAAGAAUGGAGACAAAAACAAAGUCAUAAAGUGGACAAAACAGACCUUCAGCCCGGGCGCGCUGCUGUGAGGCCAUGGCUUGGGCGGACUGGGCAGACCCGACGGCCACAUCCAGGCCCUCCGCAAGGGUCCCGGCCCGAGCGGACGCCUCGGCUAGCCACUCCGUAGCCUCAGCCAGCUGACCCCUAAGGGCCUCAGCCCGGCUCAUGGCCUCGGCAGCUUGGCUCCGAGAUUGGUCCCGCUCGCCGAUGACCUAGCCAAGCUCCAGCUGCCGCUGCUGCAUCUCCUCGGCCUAGGAAGCCACCUGCUCCCGGGCCGACGAAGCCUCCGCUCGUGCCGACGCCACCUCUGUCCAGGUGCUAUCCGAGGCGCCAAGGGGGCGACCUGCCUAGGCGUCGUCACGACGGCCGAGGGACCAACCUCCUGUACGGCCAGCGUGGGCGCUUGCUCUUGGGGGACAUGCGGCUCGGCCUGACCCCUGAAGUCACCCCAAUUAUCUCGGCCAAGGGGUCAAGUACCCCCUCGGCCCGCCUCCGCUCCUCGGAUCGGGACCCUGAUGUCCCGGCCCCAAACACUAGCGGUGCCAGCCCACUUGGAGGCUGGCUUGGCGACCCCUGGCCCAGCCUCGGGUCCGGGCUGAAGCCCAGCCGGGCCGCCAUGUCAUCAUCAUCAUCAUCAUCAUCAUCAUCGUCGUCGUCGUCAUGCGUGUCCGGCGACGACUCCAAUGGGUGCCCGUCCCUUGCUUGCCUCCGACGGCGCUUCUCCAAGGCUUCCCGAGCUCGCAUCCUCUCACGAGCUUGGGCCUUUUCCGUGUCCUUCUUCUCCUUGUCCUUCUCCGCGACGAGCCUACGCGCGGUUUGGUUCGCCGCGUCCUCCGGGACUGGUGGAAGGGAGAGUUUAAAACUCCUCAACCCCUGGGGACGAACGAAAAUCCCAACAGUAAGAGCUAAAAACGUAAAAAACUCGGCGCAAAGCAGGAGGAGGACCAAACACUUACCAGGGACACAUACCCACGGUCGAGACGCAUCAGGGGCUGGCUGAGGGCGCCAGCAUCCAGCCUCCAUACCGUACCUGCUACCGCCUGAGGAGGUCAUCGGCGGAGAGGGAGGUCGAGGACAUCCGCGAACCCUCCAGAUCGACCCCCGGCUUCAUCUCUGAAAGCCGCAACCACCACUCUGCCAAGGGGAGCACCCUCCGGCGAUGUAUAGUGGCAACGACCCCCGCAGCGGUAAGGCCCGCGGCUUGUAGCUUCUGCAAGGCACGCAGAAUGGGCUGGAGCUUCUCCUGGUUCUCGCGUGUGGCCCCCCAGCGCCAGUUAUUACCGGCGUCACCACUCGUUGAGAAAACGGCGGAAGCAUCCCGUCAUCGUUCCAGAGAUAAAACCACUGGUUCUGCCACCCCUUGUUCGAAGAUACAAGGGAGGCGGGGAUGUACUGCGCUGCCCGCCCUGACCUCAGCUGGAGGGUGCAGCCGCCAGCCCGCACCGUCAUACGGACCUUCUUCACGUCCGUCGACGCGACGAAGAACUCCGCGGAGAAGAGAUGGGUCCACAGGUCCCAGUGGGGGUCAAUCCCCAGAAACCCCUCGCAAACCGCUGCGAAAAUGGCCGCUUGCGCUAUGGAGUUGGGGUUGAAGUUAUGCAGCUCCACCCCGUAGUAGUGCGGGAGCGCCCGCAUGAAGCGGCUCGCUGGCAUCCCAAACCCCCGCUCAUGGAAGGGGAUGAAACUGACCACGUACCCCGGCGGCGGAGUCGGGUCGGCCUUGCUCCCGGGGGCCAUCCACUCAAGCCGCGGCCCGCCGGAGAGAGGACGGAGCAAACCAUCGGUGACAAGGGCCUCCAGCUCCUCCACAGUAACGGUGGAGAAAGAUGUAACACCCUAAAUCCAUCACCUAAAAGUAAUCUAGUUUUACUUAAUUAGUUUCCAUUAGAAAAAAACUUUUUGUUUUCAAACAAUGAAAAUGGUAAUAUAAAUAAAUUGAAUGAUUUACUUAAGAGAUAAAAUUUUAUGAAGUGUUUGGCAUAUUCAUUCCACAGCAUAUAUUUCGUUUGAUUUGAUUCUCAUAUCUUUUUUUUGGAUUUAAUUUGUUGUAAAACCCUCAUUUUAUAAAAUAAUAAUGUGUUGUUAAAAUAAGUGUUUUUGGAGUGUGCAUUUUGAUAGGUUAAUAAUAGUCAUUUGUAAGUAUUUGUCAAAAUUUUAUUUUAUUGAUUUCUUUUCUACUCAGCCCAAUCAAUUAAAAUAAUAGACUUUUGACUAAAAUAUUUAUUCUUUAAAAUUAGGUAUUUUUUAAAUAUUAAGUUUGAUUUUUUGAAAUAUUUGAAUAUUAUAUAAAUAUAUAAAGAAAGAAAAAUAAAAAACUCACAACUCACACGCACACAUCUAAAUUGACAAAAAAAAGAGAAAUAAAAAAAGAUAAAACAAAAUCAAAACAAAAACAAGUCACGGCCGCCGACCCCUAGCACAUGCUCUUCUCUCUCCCCCUUCUCUUCUCCAGUUUAUGCUCGGAUUGCAGGAUCGCAGUCGUCGCUGCCAUUUGAUGCUGGACGCAUGCGCUCGCUGGCCCUUCAACUCCGUGUGGAGCAUAACACCACGCCUUGGCCACCUGUUUCCUCCCCGACCGAGCUCCCCUGCGCCCAUCGCCAACCGCGCCGCGCCCAGGAGAUGCGCAGGCCGCGCGCACUACGCCGUGCCCGAGCGACACCGAAGACCCCGCAGACGUGCCGGUCGCCAAGCCGACCGACCCCGCGCCGAGGAUUCCGCGCCCCUGCAGCGCUCCACCCGCAGCACGCGCCCGACUGUCGCGAUCCGAGCAAUCGAACCGACCCGCGCAGAGCCGCCCCACACGCGUCCGUUUCUUCCGUCGCGUGUAAUGGAGCUUUCACUGCGACCGUUAAUCUCUCCCCACGUUCAUCCUCCAUUAAAAUCAACGCCAUUAAUAGCCAUGAUACACCCCUAACGACCUCUGCUCUCCCUCUCUAUCUCUAUAAAACCCCAGUCAAGCUCUCCCCUUCUCCCUGCCCAACCUCGCCCUCUCUUCUCGCGCCUCCCUCGCUCUCGCAGUGUAGUCUGCUGGAGUUCGCCGCCGUGAAGUUCGUCGCCGGACUGUCUGUGUCUGUUUGUCGUUCAACGGAGUUCCAUCCGUGCCUACGCGCUGUCCGUCGUUCGCCGUCCGUCCCGGAGUCCGUGAAGCUCGCUCACGCAGCACCCAGACAACCAUGCCCACGCUGUUCACCGUCAUUCGUUCACCCAAGGUUAAAGACAACCCCGAAAUAUUUAUCAUAUUUUGAAUUUAUUUUGUGAGAUAUUGAUGUGAUUUGGCGAUUCGCGUGUACAAUUUUAGAGAUUCAUGAUGUAUACGUGUAACCAAAAUCGAACCCCACGAUAAUAUUUUAAAUAUGCGUAUGAUUUUAUAGUUCUAAAAAUGAACACGGUCACUAGUCACUACCGCGGCGAUUUUCAUACUAGAAUACAUUUACGGAUUUGAUUUCGCUUUAAUGUGUGGAGCGAUAAUUGGUUAGUAUUGUUAUAAGUAUAAUCUUAGUGAUAUAAGAAAUUAAAAUAGAUAUUAAGCCAAGUAUUUCCAUGAAAAAUGUAUAGAUUUUACUGUUCAUAAUAAAUGUAUUCAUAAGUAUAGCACCUAGUUACUUAGAAUAGUAAAAUGCUCAUUUAUGUUAUAAUAACCAUGAAUAGGUUAUUAAAAGUCCCAUUUAGUAAUUUAUAAUUAAUUCUUAGUAUAUUAAUGUUAGAGGAAUUAAAUAAACAAUUUUUAGUUGUACGUAUAAAUUCUAUUUAGAAAAGAAAGGAGAAAACGAAAUAAUAGAAUUUUAUAAUAAUAUUAAAAUAACUUAAUUAGGCACUCAUGCUUUCCUAAUAAAGAAAUUGAUAGUUAUGUUGGUAAAUAGAUGUUUCUUACUAAAGAAUUAGAGAAUUUGUUUCUAACUGUAAAACGACCUUUUAAUAGACAUCAUGAUUUUAAUUUAAUAAGAUUCGUUAUAAAUGUUUAAGUAUAGCAGUACUAAAUAGUAAUAUAUCAUAUAACUUUUCUAAUAAUGAUAUAAUGACUUAAUCAAGUGCUCACACCGUCAUAACUAAAAUGAUAGUUAAUAAUAUACCAAUAAAUAUAGUAUUCAUUUUAAUUAUCUAGAUCAUUUGUUCCUACAAUAACAUUAAAGAUAAUUAAUAGAUUAAUUAUCCUUUAUCAUAAUUUAUUAAUCAAACCUAUAGUUAAUUUGUUCUUAAUUAGAUUUAUGGCAUGAUUAAUGUUUCCACAGAAUUUAGUUCACAUUAUAUACAGAUCACUUAGUUUUUCUAAAGGAUAAAAUAAAGUAAUAAGAGUUUAAGUUCUUUUAUAACUUAAAAUGUUACUUUAUAUAUUGACUUCAAAUAUAAUAAUAUAGGCUAUGUGUUUUCAAAUAAAAUAAAAGAUAGUUAUUUGUUUAUUAUCUUUUGCAUGAAAAUCCACUUAAGGCCCAUAACUUAACUCGUCUUAAAUAAGUGAUUAAUAAUAUGAUCUUUUCACAUAAAACCUGUUUAAUAAAACCUGUUUAGGCUUAUAUCUUAAGGUCUUUUCAAAUAGAUGUUUUAUUAUAUGUUCCAUAAGGCUUCAUAAAAUAAUAAUGUAUUUCAUAACGCAUUAAUCUUAGAUAUAACGUAUAUCUUUUCUAAAAGGUUAAAUAGUUUUAAUAUUGUUAUAACGUGUUUUAUCGUCUUAUAAACCCUUAAUCUUAGACAUAUCACAUAUAACGUUUUAUAAAGGAUUAGUUUGGUGAACCUAAUAUUUGUAUAUUUUAAUUAAGACAUUUUAAGCUCAUGUCUUGUUUUAUAAAGUAUAGAUCACACACUUUUCAAAAGAAUACCUUUUAUUAUAACCCUUGCGUGUAAUGUUUUUGAAACAUGAACGCUCUUUUCGUUAGGCUUUCUUUUAGCUUUAUGUAUGGUGAAUGUUGUAUGUUAUUGAGUGGUGUUUGUUUCUUCUUGUUUGUUUGUGUGAUAUUCAGUGAUUGAUCUAAUAGUUGAGAAUCAAGUGCUAUUCCGUGGAAGAAUCUCAAGUUUUCUAUAAGCAAGGCAAGUGGACUUCUCCCUCUGCAUACUCUGUUUGAUCCCAAACAAUACAUUUAAUAAAGUUUAUUCUUUUGGAUAUAUAUGCAUAAUUUGACGGGUUACCUAUUUAGAUAACCUUUCCAACCUUAUUCCUUGAUCAAACCUGGGAAUUAUACUUUACCUUCGUAGCUAUGCUAUUGCUACAACUUAACUUUAUGCAGUCACUCCCGCUUAUGAUAUUAAUGUUCCAAAAUGGUAAGUUUACAUUAUUGUUGUUAACCCGAUGGUUAAACAAGAUUAUUGCAUAUUAAUUGGAACAUGGAGUGACCACCCGAGAAAACAGUGCUACCAUGAGAACUAUCAUGGCUCUGGUCUUGGCUAAAUAACUAGGGAAGUCUUAUGUUGGGUGCUGGUCGUGGUUGACAGGAACGGGGGCACCUGGCAAGCUCUUAUAGUUCCGGCUCAGGAAGAUUGGAUACGGGCAUAGUUCCCAAAGCUUUACCCUGCAGUCUGGGCUAUAAGUUGGUUAUGUUAGGUGUGCUUUAUGCAGUUUGACCAUUUCCAGCAUUUGCGUAAUGAGGACUCUAGGGAGAAGCCUCGUAGUGAGACCCUGGCCAUUCACCUCGGAAGUGAAUACGGGUCUAGCUAACCCGGGCUAGAAGGGAAUCGCGACUCAUGGGUAAAGAUGCGCCACCUCUGCAGAGUGUAAAACUGAUAUAUCAGCCGUGCUCACGGUUAUGAGCAGCCUGGACUCCUCACAUGAUAAUUGAACUUGAAGAUGGAAAUAAAUUGAGAUCCGAUGAUCCGCCAAUGGUUUGUUUAAGUGGUUUCACUUAAGUGUUUUUGAUAUACUCUUACACUUUUGUUUAAUGGGAAUACUUGGGAUUCACACUUAUUAGUAAGACAGGUGUUGUUAAUAAAAUGUUGACCAACUAAAAUGCUUACUGCUCAGCCUUAGCCUCACCUUGUUAUACCUGCAUUAGUUUUUCCCCCACUUGCUGAGCCCCGACCAUAAGUGAGCUCACCCUUGCUUAAUUUUGAUCAGAAGUUUGCAGAUGAAGAUUUUGAUGGUGAACUCCAUGGAUGCUAGUCUAGUGAUACCCCCGGUCAUCUUCCUGUGGAUGGAUGUCCUUGUUUUGCUGUACUUUGAUGAACAAAGGUUAAGACAUUAUGUCUGUUCAAAGUGUAAUAUGUUAAUAUAAUCGUUAUUUACGCUUUUAUGCAUUGUUCUUUUGAUAUAUUACACUUGUGACGUCAACAUAUGUGUGGAAAUAGAUUCUGGCACACAUAUGCUAUGCACCCGGCUCUGCCCCUUAGAAACGGGUGUGACAGAAGUGGUAUCAGAGCAAUGUGACCGUAGAUCGCUAGAUUAGUUAGAAAUGGAAAGCCCAGUUAGUCUUUCAAAGCCUGAUAUAUUUUCCUCCACAAAAACUUACUUUAUAUCAAAACUCAUCUCUUUUAUCUUCAACCCUUCUUGUCUGAUUCUUCGUCUAACAGAAGGUUCUAAGGAGAAGCAUUGCAAGAUGAUCAAGCUAGGAUUGCGGAACUUGAAGCGAAGAUUGCCAGAAGAAACCUUUUCGAAGCUAUCGACGAUGCCCUAUCCUCUGUCUUAUCCCCACUCCGCAAGAAGUUUUGCUAUGGAUCCUUUGGAUCUAUUACCAGACUUCUUGGUUAGGUUGAUAGGAUUGUUCUUUAGUAUUAAGAUUUUCGACUAGAUCGGUAAUGGCGAUAUUAUAUUAUAGUGGUUUUCUAAUCCCUAAUAUUGCUAUAUAACCCUUGACUUCUUAUACAUUUGUUUUCUUGCCAUUGUAUUGCCACCCUUGCGCAAUAUCUACCUUGAUAUAUUAAACCUUUCCUCUAUACUUUUCUCCUUGAUAAUACUUUCUCCCUAACUCACUUCAUAUCCUUGGUUGUAUCAUUUAUCCUCGCUUUAAUUGUUCAUGGUUAUCUUAUUUCACUCUUGGCCACCAACAAAUAUGUCUUGUCUAACUCCUUGAUAAUUCCUACCUAACUCCUUGAUGUUAUAUUAUCUUUCUUAUUCCAAACCUUGUCUCACCUUUUGUUUUGGUUAAAUGAGUAGAAUUGGAUUGUGUUGUGCUGGUAUACUUGAGUUCAUUGUCCUUUGUGUUCAUGUUUGAUUUGUUUCUUUGAAAUGAUUGUUGGUGUAUUGUGUAACUUUUGUCCACAUGACAUCAAUUAGCUAGGAAAAACCUUAGAUAGAUGGGUUUUCUCUGCUCUCUAUAAUCUGUCUUUGCUCAACCCUUUCGUCCCUCCUAUUCUUCCAUACCCAUACAAAUGUCAGACCUUGGAAUAUCAACCACAAGUGAUGUCACUAAGUGCAAAGAAGGCGGUGUGUUGGCAAGUCAAAACAACACUCUAAAUAAAACAGUUGAUGAACAGGCAUUCAAGACACAAAAGGAUGCACAACCAAACCAACAAACAAGUGAACUUGGAACAUGUUGUUGUUGUGAGUACUAUGGAAUUCCUUGUCGCUAGAUCAGUACAAACAAAAGUGAAACUACAAAACAGAAGAAUCGGAUUUUAUUUUCUGGCAUAAAAAGUCAAUGGUCUCCCCAAGAACAACUAAAAACAGAUGCACUAUCAGACGAUGAAUUGCCAGGUUUUCCAAAAAGGAAACAUCACAAGGAUGCCCAGCUACAAAAAGAAGCAAAGGAGUGUUACAUUGAUGGAUGGACUAUCACCUGCACACAGUUUCAGCCUCGUCGUCGCAUCAGUUCCAAGAAACAAAAAUGGAAACAUGGAAAAAGUCAAGAAAUAACUUCAAGAAAGUCUUGCUAUCAAUGUGGACGUGAAGGUCAUUACUUCCGUAACUGUCCUGAGAAGAGUUCACUACCGGAUACCUCCGAGAUAAAGCUAUCUCAGUCUCCACACAUGGAAUAUGAACAAAAAUGUACAGAAACUUCUAUCAACAUCGUGAAGAACAACAAAAGGAAUAGAAAAAUGUUUGGAUAUAUGAGUAGUCCACCUCAACCACAAGCAAAAGCCCCGAAACACAUGGAUACCCAAAUAGAAGAAUCAAGUUAGGCUCAGCUACAUGAGAUACAAACACCCAAUCAACCAUCAUCCCCUGUUGGUCAAGCAAAGUUGACUCGCAAAGAACUCAAAGCAAAAGGUCCUUGCUACUAUUGCAAAAAUGAAGGACAUAUCAUCUACCAAUGCCGCAAGAAGCGUCUAUACCGACUUGAGAAGAAGACUGCGAAACAAUUAGUUUCUUAAGUUUGGAAGACUUCAGUAUAAACCAAUAACCUACAAAUAACCUUGAAUCACCUUUGUUUUUCUUGCUAACCUUUCCUAAUCUCGAGGACGAGAUUCUUUUUAGGGGGGUAGAUUUUGUAACACCCUAAAUCCAUCACCUAAAAGUAAUCUAGUUUUAUUUAAUUAGUUUCCAUUAGAUUUUUUUGUUUUCAAACAAUGAAAAUGGUAAUUGUCGGCGUUUCGACCCCGGGGGGGGGGGUCCCUGGACCGACGAGUAAAUUGUUGCUGCGUGUCCCAGCCCAGAUGGGUCGGCGUGAGACGGAACACAAGGGGGAAAACAGUAAGAGGAAACCACGGCCUCGUGUUGUCCUGCGCCCGGGGCGGAUGCGCUUGCAGUAGGGGGUUACAAGCGUUCGCGAGAGAGAGAGAGGGCGCGAGCCUCGUGCGUCGGCCCGUUCUCCCGCGCGGCCACCUUCCCGUACGAGAGCCCUGGACCUUCCUUUUAUAGAUGUAAGGAGAGGGCCCAGGUGUACAAUGGGGGGUGUAGCAAUGUGCUAAACAUGUCUAGCAAAGGGGAGCCAGAACCCUAUGUACAUGCCGUCGUGGCUGUCGGAGAGGUGUUGCUUCCCUGUUCAUGUGAUGUCGUGGCCGUCGGAGGAGCGCUUGAGCCCUGUGGAAGUACAGCUGUCGGGGCUGUCGGAUCCUUGCUGACGUCUCCUUGCUUUCGUAAGGGGCUGAGAACCGCCAUCGUCAUGGAGCACGCGGGGUGCCAUCAUUACUUGUUUUACCGGGGCGAGCCGGAUGGGACGCCGGUCUUGUUCACCGUAGCUUGAGCUAGCUAGGGGUAGGGUAAUGAUGGCCCCCCUGUGACGUGGUCUGUCCGAGCCAGAGGUCGGGCGAGGCGGUGACUCCUCCGAGGUCGAGGCUGAGUCCGAGCCCUGGGGCUCGAGCGAGGCGGAGUCCGUCGUCCGAGGUUGAGGCUGAGUCCGAGCCCUGGGGUCGGGCGAGGCGGAGACCGUCGUCCGAGGUCGAGGUUGAGUCUGAGCCCUGGGGUCGGGCGAGACGGAGACCGUCUUCCGAAGUCGAGGCUGAGUCCGAGCCCUGGGGUCGGGCGAGGCGGAGUCCGUCGUCCAAGGUCGAGGUUGAGUCCGAGCCCUGGGGUCGGGCGAGGCAGAGUCCAUCGUCCGAGGUCGAGGCUGAGUCCGAGCUCUAGGGUCGGGCGAGGCGGAGACCGUCUUCCGAGGUUGAGGUUGAGUCCGAGCCCUGGGGUCGGGCGAGGCAGAGCUUCCUAUGGCGCCCGAGGCUGGACUUAGCUGCUGUCAGCCUCACUCUGGCGAGUGGCACAACAGUCGGAGCAGGGCAGGCGACGCUGUUUUCCUGUCAGGUCAGUGGAGCGGCGAAGUGACUGCGGUCACUGCGGCCUUGUCGACUGAGGAGCGUGCGUCAGGAUAAGGUGUCAUGCGAUCCUUGCAUUGAUUGCUCCUGCGAUACGGUCGGUUGGCGUGGCGAUCUGGCCAAGGUUGCUUCUCCGUGAAGCCUGUCCGAGCUGGGCCUCGGGCGAGUCGAAGGUGCGCCCGUUGCUUGAGGAGACCCUCGAGCGAGGCUUGAAUCUGCCUUGGUCUACUGUUCCUACCCGAGGCUGGGCUUGGGCGAGACGAGAUUGUGUCCCUUGAGUGGAUGGAGCCUUGACCGAAAUCGCGCCCAUCAGGCCUUUGCAGCUUUGUGCUGAUGGGGGUUACCAGCUGAGAUUAGGAGUCUUGGGGGUACCCCUAAUUAUGGUCCCUGAUAGUAGCCCCCGAGCCUCGAAGGGAGUGUUAGUACUCGCUUGGAGGCUUUUGUCGCACUUUUUUUGCAAGGGGUCCGACCUUUCUCGGUUGCAUUUCGUUCCGGUGGGUGCGCGCAAGCGCACCCGCCGGGUGUAGCCCCCGAGGCCUCGGAGGAGUGGUUUGACUCCUUCGAGGUCUUAAUGCCUUUCGUGAUGCCUCGGCCGGUCUGGUUGUUCCCUCAUGCGAACUGGUCGUUGCCCGGGUGCAUAGUCAGGUUCCAAGUUCUCGGGCUGGUAUGUUGACGCUGUCAACGGUUUGGCUGGAGCCGGGUUUGCGAGAGCAGCCCCCGAGCCUCCGCACAGAGCGAGAGGAUGGUCAAGGACUGACUCAGCUUUUAUCAUACGCCCCUUCGUCGCCUUUCCGCAAGGAGGAGGGGGGAAAGCACCAUGUUGCCCUCGGAGGGCGCCGAACAUGGUGUCUCCAGUGAGUUGCUAACGGGUGAUCCGAGUGGACGCCCGUGCCCUGUUCGAUAAGGGUUGGCUAGUGGCCCAGAGGCACGCUCCAAAAGUACCUGCAGGUGAUUUGUCGGACCCGGUCCCAUUUGAUAGGGUCCGAGGGCUUGAUGCCUCCCUCUGAUGGGAUUCCGUUAUAGAAUCGCUCCUGCCGGUCUCGAAAAUGUCCUAGGGUACCUCGGGAGCGUAGCCCGAGCCUCGGCCAUGUAUCGGACGUACCCAGAGUCAUCCCUCUCUCUGCGUGCUCUGAGGCGGCUGUCGAACCCUUCGGGGGCCAGCCUAUGAACCCCUGAUUAGUAGUGGGCGCGGAGCCCGAGUGGCCUGAGGCGGCUGUCGAACCCUUCCGAGGGGCCAGCCUUCGAACCUCUGACCAGUAGUGGGCGCGGAGCUCGAGUGCUCUGAGGCGGCUGUCGAACCCUUCCGAGGGGCCAGCCUUCGAACCUCUGAUCAGUAGGAGGGCUCGGGGCCCGCUUCUUUCGCGGAGAAGGAUCCCUUUCGGAGUAUCCCCUUUCCCGGUCCCUGUAGCAAGAGAGAGAAAGGGGAAGAGGAAAAGGAUACAAAAUUGAAUGUCGUGGCACAUCUUUUUUGACGCGGUCAUUAUGGCGGAGGUGAAGCGUCGCCCGCUUCGCCUGCCAAAGGUGUCGCUUGCCCUGCCGCAGAGUUAAUGCGACGGGACGAGUGGUUCGCGGGGCAGCCGUUGUGCGUGCGCGAGCCGUUCGAGGAACGGAACACGGGCGCGUCGUCUUCACGCCGUGGGAGAGGGCUCUCCUGCUGCUCUAGGAGGGGACGUGAGCCUGCAGUCGAUUUGACUGCUGCUUCCGCCCGCCUGCCGCCGCCAUUACUGCCGGCCCACUUUUGGCCAUAUCGACCAUCGCGCCUUCUCCCGCGGCUGACUGACCCGUGACCGAUGUGCUCGGUUGGCACUGUUGGGCCAUGCGCAGGGUUGCCUCGAGUCGUGGCACUGGUUCUACAGUCGAGAUGGCGCGGUACUGGCGCAAGUGGCGGUGCAGUUUCUCGCACGUAGUAACCGACGUGCCGGUUACAUGACGUGUGGGCCUGGGCCUCCCUGCUGGACAUGUCGAAGUCGAAAGGGUGCGCCCCCUUGGUGCGGUUGCAUGCCGCCUGCAUGGCGGUCCGCCCUUUCACCCGCUGGUCUGGGCGAAAGUGGAGGAGUGCUUGUAACCACUGGGCAGUUACGCGCUCCGCGCGCGGUGGUUUGGCUUCUUCUGUCCUGGGCCAGCUUGCAUGAUGCGUGGGACCCAGCCCCCGUGUUGCAGGGAGAGGACCUCGGAGCGUGUUGGUGAAGACUCAGUCCGCGACGGCUGAGGACGCAAGUGGGGAGAGUCGCCUUUAAAAAGGGGGCGACCCCCUUGGAUGUCAGUCGUGCAUUCGCCAACUGUCCUCAUGCAUUGCGUCCUUCCACCUUCCGAGCCCCCGGAUGGGGAGCACCCGCGUUGCUUUCGUCUUGCUGUCGUUGGAGGAACGCAACUUCGCGGAAGUUGGUACCUUUCAGCCAUCGCUCGGCUUCAAGGAUUUUCAUCAGGCAGCCCGGCUGCAUCCCCUCGCCGAUGGUCACCCAAGAUGGUGACCACCAGUUUGAUGGUGGGGAGAACCAAGCCGGGCUGCGGCCUCUGCUUCGCCCUCAGCUUCAAGGAUCUUCAUCAUCCUUGCUGGGGCGGAGGGCGAGCUGAGUUGGGGCCUGCCUUCGCGUGGGCCGGCGUCCCGCUUCUUCCUCCAGAUUGUAGGGGUGGAAACCAUCCUCCAGCUCUGCAGAGGAGGCGCCCUCCAGCCAUGCCGGGGAAGGCGAACUGUUGCUGCCCAGCCAGGGUGCAACAUUCCGUCCUUUGUCCGGGCGGCGGUGGCCAGCCGCACCGGGGGGUCUCCCUACACGCCGUACGCCGCGAAGGCGGUACUCGUGUUCUAGGACGGUCCCAUUCUCGUUUUCGUGGCGAGGACGGGAGUGAGGACCUGUCGAUGCGCUUUGGGGCGGCCGGCGCCCGCUGGUGCGGUGUUGGUGGGCAGGUGGACGUCACCGUCGGUGCUGAGGUGGUGGCAGCUGGAGAAAACUUCUCCGCCGACGAGACCGUCAGCGCCACCCACGGACCGACCUCCGGCUCUUUGACUUUAAUAUCUGGUUCUCGUCCCCCGUGAGGGGACGCGAACGAGAGCCUUCCAGCGGUAGCGUCCGUCGCUGCUGCUGCAGAGGUCGCCUGCGAGUCACCCGGAGUCUGUCGUCCCGCAGGCUCUCCGGUGUGGAGGUUGUUCAUACCCGUGGGAGUGGAACCGGAGUUCCAUUUAUAAUGGCACCUUGAGUGCCGGUGUCUGUUCAUUGUGGCUGUCGGGGCCUGAACAUCGAUGUGUCUGGGCGUAAAGCCAUGUUUCUUCCUCAUUUCGAGCACUAGGACUCGCCUGUCGGCUAGCUGAACCACUUACCAAGUGUGAGUUGCCUCGUGCGGAAGGUGACGAGUGAGGUAUCCGUAUCCUGGAGGCGUAGGAGUCCCUCGGCUCGGUUGGCCUUGCCGCCCGAGGCUUCUCUUGCCCAGUUAAAGAAACCCUCGGCCGCUCUUCGAUGAGCCGGAGCCAGAGGCAGCGGUGUCAGCAUGGACAGAGGCAGAGUUGGCUCGAAAAGAAGACUUCGUCGGCCCAGGAGCAGGUGACUUCCCAGGCCGAGGAGGCGUAGCAGCGGCGGCUGGAACCUGGCCAGGUCGUCCACUAGUGGGACCAACCCUGGAGUCGGGCUGCCGAGGCCAUGAGCCGGGCUGAUGUCCUCGGGGGACAGCUGGCUAAGGCUUCGGGACGGCCGGUCCAGCCGUCUGCUUGGACCGGGUUCCUGGAGGAGACCCUGGCGGCGAUGGCUCAGGCGCGAUGCUGACAUCUUCCUUCGAGGUGGAGAUCCUUCGACCGUGUCGCCGUCCGAGGCUAGGUCGGAUUCCGCCGAAGGUAGAGUCGAUACCGAGGGUGCUGCUGCUCCCCCUAUUGAUGUCUGAACCUGCAGGAACAGUUUAUCUGUAGUGUGCGUAUGUUUUUUUUGCGGCCGCCGAGGCCCAAACAUACCGUCGUCGUGUUGUAAAGCUGCGCUUCUUUUCCCUUUGUUUCGAGUAUCAAGACUUAUUUGUCGGUAACAGAAUUGUUUAUCCGAGCGAGAGUUACUUUUCACGGAAGGUGAUGAGUGAGGUAUCCGUAUCCCGGAGGCGUAGGAGUUCCUCGGCUCGGUCGGCCUUGCCGCUUACGUGUACUCUUACUCGUCUGUAGGAUUCUGUUAUCGAUAUAGUCGAGAAGGCACGAAAAAUUGUUUCGGCAGAAAAGUUUUCGAGCGUUACGACUUGUUCGGCCAGCAGAAUUGCUUAUCCGAGCGUGAGUUACUUAUCGCAGAAGGUGAUGAGUGAGGUAUCCGUAUCCUAGAGGCGUAGGAGUCCCUCGGCUCGGUCGGCCUUGACUGCUUACGUGUACUCCGUCGUUUUCGGGAUCCCACUAUCGAAGCAGUCAAAAAGCACGAAAGAUGUUCUGGCAGAAAGAUUUUUUCCGAGGAAAAUUUUGACGCAGAGGGGGUUCCCCCCUUCUACCCCCGAGGGAGGGUCGGGCUUUGUCGAGGCAAGGCUGACCCUUACUUGAUGGUUAGACUUUAUUUGCGUAUGUAAACGAGGUAUAUGAACAACUUGAAAACAUCUUAAGGGUAGAAGCGACGUAGCUGUCGGAUGUUCCAAGUGUUGCUGUAGACCUCGCCUUGACUGUUGGCCAGCUUGUAUGUUCCGGGCUUCAAAAUCUUGGCGAUGAUGAACGGCCCUUCCCAGGGAGGUGUGAGCUUGUGGCGCCCUCGGACGUCUUGUCGUAGUCGAAGCACCAAGUCGCCCACCUGGAGGUCUCGGGACCGAACCCCUCGGGCAUGGUAGCGUCGCAGGGACUGCUGAUACCGUGCCGAGUGUAGUAAGGCCAUGUCCUAAGCCUCUUCCAGCUGGUCCAGUGAGUCUUCUCGGUUGGUCCGGUUGCUUCGGUCGUCGUACGCCCUCAUCCUCGGAGAUCCGUAUUCUAAGUCUGUGGGCAAGAUAGCCUCGGCCCCAUAGACUAGAAAGAACGGCGUGAAGCCCGUGGCUCGGCUUGGCGUCGUUCUCAGACUCCAGACCACCGAGGAGAGUUCCUUCAUCCAUCACCUGCCGAAUUUGUUGAGGUCGUUGUAGAUCCUUGGCUUGAGUCCCUGUAGAAUCAUGCCGUUGGCACGCUCUACCUGCCCAUUCGUCAUGGGGUGAGCUACGGCGGCCCAGUCCACCCGGAUGUGGUGGUCCUCGCAGAAGUCCAGGAACUUCCUACCGGUGAACUGGGUGCCGUUGUCGGUGAUGAUGGAGUUCGGGACCCCAAAGCGAUGGAUGAUGUUGGUGAAGAACGCCACCGCCUGUUCGGACCUGAUGCUAUUUAGGGGUCUGACUUCGAUCCACUUGGAGAAUUUGUCGACGGCGAUCAGCAGGUGCGUGUAGCCCCCGGGUGCCUUCUGCAAGGGACCGACGAGGUCCAGACCCCACACAACAAACGGCCAGGUGAUGGGUAUUGUUUGCAAGGCCUGAGCAGGUAGGUGCGUCUGCUUUGCGUAGAAUUGACACCCUUGGCAGGUGCGUACAAUCCUAGCAGCGUCGGCCACCGCGGUCGGCCAGUAGAAACCCUAUCGGAAGGCGUUUCUAACAAGGGCUCGAGGCGCUGCGUGAUGGUCGCAAGCCCCCGAGUGUAUUUCUUGUAAUAACUCCUGACCUUCGACGAUGGAUAUGCAUCGCUGGAGGAUGCCUGAGGGGCUGCGGUGGUAGAGCUCCUUUCCGCCACCCAGCAAGACGAACGACUUGGCGCGCCGCGCUAGUCGCCGAGCUUCGGCUCUGUCGAGGGGUAGUUCUCCUCGGUGGAGAUAUUGCAGGUAUGGGGUAUGCCAGUUUCGAUUAGGCGUGACCCCAUUCCGCUCUUCCUCGACGCGCAGUGCCUCACCCUCGGGGGCCGAGGGUGCCUCGGGCUCAGCCGAGGGUGCCUCGUGCUGAACCGAGGCCUUCUCGGGCUCGGGCGUGUUGUCGGUCUUGACUGAGGGUAGAUGUAGGUCUCGGGAGAAGACGUCUAGAGGAACCGUUGUCCGCCCCGAGGCUAUCUUAGCCAGCUCAUCCUCAGUCUCGUUGUAUCGUCGGGCGAUGUGGUUGAGCUCGAGCCCGUAGAACUUGUCCUCCAGGCGCCGAACCUCAUCACAGUAGGCUUCCAUCUUCGGGUCGCGGCAAUGGGAGUUCUUCAUGACCUGGUCGGUGACAAGCUGCGAGUCGCCCCGAGCGUCGAGGCGCCGGACCCGUAGCUCGAUGGCGAUGCGCAACCUGUUAACCAGAGCCUCGUACUCGGCCACGUUGUUGGACACCGGGAAAUGGAGGCGCAGCACGUAGAGGAGGUGCUUCCCGAGGGGUGAGAUGAAGAGCAGGCCCGCGCCCGCUCCUGUCUUCAUCAGCGACCCGUCGAAAAACAUGGUCCAGAGUUCCGGUUGGAUAGGAGCUGCUGGGAGCUGGGUGUCGACCCAUUCAGCCACAAAGUCUGCGAGGACUUGGGACUUGAUGGCCUUCCGAGGGGCGAACGAGAUUGUCUUGCCCAUGAUCUCCACCGCCCACUUUGCAAUCCUACCCGAGGCCUCUCGGCACUGGAUGAUCUCCCCCAGGGGGAAGGAUGACACCACAGUCACCGGAUGAGACUCGAAGUAGUGUCGCAACUUUUGCCGUGUCAGAAUUACCGCGUACAGUAGCUUCUGAAUUUGCGGGUAGCGGAUUUUGGUCUCGGACAGUACUUCACUGAUAAGUAGACUGGCCUCUGGAUCGGCAAUGCGUGCCCCUCUUCUCGUCUCUCGACCACGAUCGCGGUGCUGACCACCUGAGUGGUAGCGGUGACGUAGAUCAAGAGGGCUUCUCCGGCAGCGGGGGGCACCAAGAUGGGCGCGUUUGUAAGGAGCGCCUUUAGGUUCCUGAGGGCUUCCUUGGCCUCGGGGGUCCAAGCGAAGCGCUCGGUCUUCCUUAAGAGGCGGUACAGAGGUAGGCCUCUUUUGCCGAGGCGCGAGAUGAAACGGCUCAGAGCCGCAAGGCAUCCCAUGACCCUCUGUACUCCUUUCAAGUCCUAGAUGGGCCCCAUGUUGGUGAUGGCCGCGAUUUUCUCCGGGUUGGCCUCGAUGCCCCGCUCGGAGACGAUGAACCCCAGGAGCAUGCCUCGGGGGACUCCAAAGACACACUUCUCGGGAUUGAGUUUUACGCCCUUCGCCUUGAGACACUUGAAUGUCGUUUCAAGGUCAGAGAGGAGGUCGGAGGCUUUCCUCGUCUUGACUACGAUGUCAUCGACGUAAGCCUCGACCGUUCGACCAAUGUGCUCUCCUAACACGUGGUUCAUGCACCUUUGGUAUGUCGCACCUGCAUUCCUCAAACCGAAUGGCAUAGUAACGUAGCAGUACAUCCCAAAAGGUGUGAUGAAAGAAGUCGCGAGCUGGUCGGACUCUUUCAUCCUGAUUUGGUGAUACCCUGAGUAGGCAUCGAGGAAAGACAGGGUUUCGUACCCAGCAGUGGAAUCCACGAUUUGAUCGAUGCGAGGCAGAGGGUAGGGAACUUUCGGACAUGCUUUGUUUAGACCAGUGUAGUCUACACACAUCCGCCAUUUCCUGCCUUUCUUUCUCACAAGCACAGGGUUGGCUAGCCAUUCGGGAUGGAAUACCUCUUUGAUGAACCCUGCAGCCGUCAGCUUGUGGAUCUCCUCGCCUAUGGCUCUGCGCUUUUCUUCGUCAAAUCGGCGCAGAGGCUGCUUCACGGGUCGGGCUCCAGCUCGGAUAUCCAGCGAGUGCUCGGCGACAUCCCUCGGUAUGCCAGGCAUGUCCGAGGGACUCCACGCAAAAACCUCGGCGUUUGCACGGAGAAAGUCGACGAGCACUGCUUCCUAUUUGGGGUCGAGCUCGGAGCCGAUCCGGACUUGCUUGGAGGUGUCGUUGCUGGGGUCAAGAGGGACGGACUUAACCAUCUCAGCUGGCUCGAAGUUGCCGGCGUGGCGCUUCGCAUCUGGCGCCUCCUUGGAGAGGUUCUCCAGGUCGGCGAUGAGGGCCUCAAAUUCGGCGAGGGCCUCGGCGUACUCCAUGCACUCCACGUCGCAUUCGUACGCGUGUCGGUACGUGGAGCCGUCGGUGAUGACCCCGUUGGGGCCCGACAUCUUGAGCUUGAGGUAGGUGUAGUUGGGGACGACCAUGAACUUGGCGUAGCAUGGUCUCCCCAGCACUGCGUGGUAGGUUCCUCGGAACCCGACCACCUCGAACGUGAGGGUUUCCUUUCGGAAGUUGGAGGGAGUCCCGAAGCAGACGGGCAAAUCGAGUUGCCCAAGGGGCUGCACGCGCUUCCCGGGGAUGAUCCCGUGAAAAGGCGCCGCGCCGGCCCGGAUCGUGGACAGAUCGAUCUGCAGGAGCCCGAGGGUCUCGACGUAGAUGAUGUUGAGGCUGCUGCCUCCGUCCAUGAGGACCUUGGUAAGCCUGACGUUGCCGAUGACGGGGUCGACAAUGAGCGGGUAUUUCCCCGGGCUCGGCACGCGGUCGGGGUGGUCGCCCUGGUCCAAGGUGAUGGGCUUGUCGGACCAGUCUAGGUAGACUGGCGCCGCCACCUUCACCGAGUAGACCUCCCGGCGCUCUUGCUUGUGGUGCCGAGCCGAGGCGUUCGCCACUUGCCCACUGUAGAUCAUGAAGCAAUCAUGGACCUCGGGGAACUCUUCUGCCUUGUGGCCCUCCUUCUUGUCGUUGUCGUAGGCCCUGCCACCUUCCGCCAGUGGCCCGGCCUUGUGGAAGUAGCGCCGAAGCAUAACGCACUCCUCAAGGGUGUGCUUGAUGGGACCCUGAUGAUAGGGGCACGACUCCUUGAGCAUCUUGUCGAACAGGUUGGCGCCUCCGGGAGGCUUCCGAGGAUUCCUAUGCUCAGCGGCGGCGACAAGGUCUGCGUCGGCGGCGUCGCGUUUCGCUUGCGACUUCUUCUUGCCCUUCUUCUUGGUGUCGCGCUGAGCGAACGCCUCAGAGACAUCUUCUGGCUGGCGCCCCUGAGGCUGCUUGUCCUUUCGGAAGAUGGCCUCGACCGCCUCCUGACCAGAGGCGAACUUGGUGGCGAUGUCCAUCAGCUCGCUCGCCCUGGUGGGACUCUUGCGAUCCAGCUUGCUCACUAGGUCGCGGCAAGUGGUGCCGGCGAGGAACGCGCCGAUGACAUCCGAGUCGGUGAUGUUAGGCAGCUCGGUGCGCUGUUUCGAAAAUCGCCGGAUGUAGUCCCGGAGGGAUUCUCCCGGCUGCUGGCGGCAGCUUCGGAGAUCCCAGGAGUUCCCAGGGCGCACGUAUGUGCCCUGGAAGUUGCCGGCGAAGGCUUUGACCAGGUCAUCCCAGUUGGAGAUCUGCGUAGGUGGCAGAUGCUCUAGCCAGGCUCGGGCGGCAUGGAGAGGAACAGGGGGAGGUUGCGGAUGAUGAGGUUGUCAUCGUCCAUUCCACCCAGCUGGCAGGCCAGCCGGUAGUCCGCGAGCCAUAGUUCCGGCCUUGUCUCCCCCGAGUACUUGGUGAUGGUAGUCGGGGUUCGGAACCGGGUCGGGAACGGCGCUCGUCGUAUGGCCCGGCUGAAAGCUUGCGGACCGGGUGGUUCGGGCGAGGGGCUCCGAUCCCCCUCGCUGUCGUAGCGUCCCCCACGCCUGGGGUGGUAGCCUCGGCGCACCUUAUCGUCGAGGCGAGCUCGACGGUCGCGGCGGUGGUGCUCGUUGCCGAGGCAUCCCGGGGCCGCAGGCGCUGUGUCCCACGUGCGCCCGGUGUGGACCGAGGCUUCCCGCAUGAAUCGGGAAGUCGCAGCGCGAUGCUCCGGGGGGUACCCCUGCCUUUGGGAGGCAGAGCUUUCGGCCCGUCGGACCGCGACAUCCUCUAGGAGAUUCUUGAGCUCUCCCUGGAUACGCCGCCCCUCGGUGGUGGAUGGUUCCGGCAUCGCUCGGAGUAGUAUUGCUGCUGCAGCCAGGUUCUGGCCGACCCCACUGGAAGCCGGCGGCAGCCUUGCCCUGACAUCGUCGGCGAUGCGGUGCUGGACGUCCUGGGCCAGAUGACGCGCUUCUCCGGCUGGUGCUUGGCCUGCCCCCUCCUGCCCGAUAGUCUGCCGGAGCUGCACAAGUUGUCCUGCUUCCUCGUCGAGCCUGGCCUGCAUCUCGCGGAUUUGCUCGAGCUGUGCGUCCUGACCCCCCGCAGGGACUGGGACCACAACUAGCUCCCGAAGGAUGUCAACGCGAGGCGCAGGCCUAGGGGGAUCGCCGUCCUCCGGCAUACCAAGAUGGUUGCCUUCGUCGAGACCCCCUAGAUCGACGUGGAAAUAUUCACGACUUGGGCCACAGUCCUCAUCGCCGAGGCUGUGGCUACCAUCGGAGCAAUCAGAGAGGCAGUAGUCACAUGCGGUCAUGAAGUCCCGCAUGGCACUGGGGUUAUCGAGCCUGAAGAAAUCCCAACCAGAGUCAGGCUCGUCAUCUCCCUCGGAACCCGAGGGCCCGUAGGUCGAGACGGCCGUCAGUCGGUCCCAGGCUGACCGCAUAUGAUACCCCGGAAGGUUCGGAUAUGCCUUUAUGAAAGCAUCCACCGAAGCGGGGUCGCUUGGUGGGUCGAAGCUGAAUCUAAAAGGCAGAUGGGAAACGGACGGUACCUCUUGAUCGACGGAUGGUGACGAAGUCGCGUUGGGGACGGAUUGCACCGUUAUCUCAGGUACGAGGCUAACGCCCAGCAAGUCCUUCGCGAGCGUGCUGGCGUCGUCCGUCUGCUUGGGGUUGGCGUGUUGCGGGGAAACGACGCUCGUCUUCGUCUCAGACGCGAGGUCAACGACCGACGUGUCCCCCGCUGGGGCACCGGCGCCGUCGACUCGCUCGACAGCCGAUGAGGUGCCGCCUCCUGCUUGGCCAUGCCCGCCCCGCCUCCUCCUCCGUCGGCGAGGAAGGUGAUGGGACAGACCCGGAUGUUGCUCUUCCGCCACGCGGGGAAGACGUCGUCGAUUCCGCCGUCGGCGGGCGGGCUGACAGCCGCCAUUGUCGUUGUCGCGCGGCGGAGGAAGGAGUACCAUGUCGUAGCUGCCGUCGAGGGACAUGAACUCAAGACUCCCGAAACGGAGCAUCGUCCCGGGUUGGAGAGGUUGCUGAAGACUACCCAUCUGGAGCUUGACGGGAAGAUGUUCGUCAACACGCAGCAGGCCCCUACCUAGCGUGCCAACUAUCGGCGUUUCGACCCCGGGGGGUCCCUGGACCGACGAGUAAAUUGUCGCUGCGUGUCCCAGCCCAGAUGGGUCGGCGCGAGACAGAACACAAGGGGGAAAACAGUAAGGGGAAACCACGGCCUCGAGUUGUCCUGAGUCCGGGGCGGAUGCGCUUGCAGUAGGGGGUUACAAGCGUUCGCGAGAGAGAGAGAGGGCGCGAGCCUCGUGCGUCGGCCCGUUCUCCCGCGCGGCCACCUUCCUGUACGAGUGCCCUGGACCUUCCUUUUAUUGAUGUAAGGAGAGGGCCCAGGUGUACAAUGGGUGGUGUAGCAAUGUGCUAGACGUGUCUAGCAAAGGGGAGCCAGAACCCUAUGUACAUGCCGUCGUGGCUGUCGGAGAGGUGUUGCUGCCCUGUUCAUGUGAUGUCGUGGCCGUCGGAGGAGCGCUUGAGCCCUGUGGAAGUACAGCUGUCGGGGCUGUCGGAUCCUUGCUGACGUCUCCUUGCUUCCGUAAGGGGCUGAGAACCGCCGUCGUCAUGGAGCACGCGGGGUGCCAUCAUUACUUGUUUUACCGGGGCGAGCCGGAUGGGACGCCGGUCUUGUUCCCCGUAGCCUGAGCUAGCUAGGGGUAGGGUAAUGAUGGCCCCCCCUAUGACGUGGUCGGUCCGAGCCCGAGGUCGGGCGAGGCGGUGACUCCUCCGAGGUCGAGGCUGAGUCCGAGGCGGAGUCCGUCGUCCGAGGUUGAGGAUGAGUCCGAGCCCUGGGGUCGGGCGAGGCGGAGACCAUCGUCCGAGGUCGAGGUUGAGUCCGAGGCCUGGGGUCGGGCGAGGCGGAGACCAUCUUCCGAAGUCGAGGCUGAGUCCGAGCCCUGGGGUCGGGCGAGGCGGAGUCCGUCGUCCGAGGUCGAGGUUGAGUCCGAGCCCUGGGGUCGGGCGAGGCGGAGUCCGUCGUCCGAGGUCGAGGCUGAGUCCGAGCUCUGGGGUCGGGCGAGGCGGAGACCGUCUUCCGAGGUCGAGGUUGAGUCCGAGCCUUGGGGUCGGGCGAUGCGGAGCUUCCUAUGGCGCCCGAGGCUGGACUUAGCUGCUGUCAGCCUCACUCUGGCGAGUGGCACAACAGUCGGAGCAGAGCAGGCGACGCUGUUUUCCUGUCAGGUCAGUCAGUGGAGCGGCGAAGUGACUGCGGUCACUGCGGCCUUGUCGACUGAGGAGCGUGCACCAGGAUAAGAUGUCAGGCGAUCCUUGUAUUGAUUGCUCCUGCGAUACGGUCGGUUGGCGUGGCGAUCUGGCCAAGGUUGCUUCUCCGCGAAGCCUGUCCGAGCUGGGCCUCGGGCGAGUCGAAGGUGCGCCCGUUGCUUGAGGAGACCCUCGGGCGAGGCGUGAAUCUGCCUUGGUCUACUGUUCCUGCCCGAGGCUGGGCUCGGGCGAGACGAGAUCGUGUCCCUUGAGUGGACGGAGCCUUGACCGGAAUCGCGCCCAUCAGGCCUUUGCAGCUUUGUGCUGAUGGGGGUUACCAGCUGAGAUUAGGAGUCUUGGGGGUACCCCUAAUUAUGGUCCCCGACAGUAAUAUAAAUAAAUUGAAUGAUUUACUUAAGAGAUAAAAUUUUAUGAAGUGUUUGGCAUAUUCAUUCCGCAGCAUAUAUUUCGUUUGAUUUGAUUUUCAUAUCUUUUUUUUGGAUUUAAUUUGUUGUAAAACCCUCAUUUUAUAAAAUAAUAAUGUGUUGUUAAAAUAAGUGUUUCUGGAGUGCAUUUUGAUAGGUUAAUAAUAGUCAUUUGUAAGUAUUUGUCAAAAUUUUAUUUUAUUGAUUUCUUUUCUACUCAGCCCAAUCAAUUAAAAUAAUAGACUUUUGACUAAAAUAUUUAUUCUUUAAAACUGGGUAUUUUUUUCUAAAUAUUGAGUUUGAUUUUUUUGAAAUAUUUGAAUAUUAUAUAAAUAUAUAAAGAAAGAAAAAUAAAAAAACUCACAACUCACACGCACACAUCUAAAUUGACAAAAAAAAGAGAAAUAAAAAAAAGAUAAAACAAAAUCAAAACAAAAACAAGUCACGGCCGCUGGCUCCUAGCACAUGCUCUUCUCUCUCCCCUUCUUUUCUCCGAUUUAUUCUCGGAUUGCAGGAUCGCAGUCGUCGCUGCCAUUUGAUGCUGGACGCAAGCUCUCGCUGGCCCUUCAACUCCGUGUGGAGCAUAACACCACACCUUGGCCACCUGUUUCCUCCCCGACCGAGCUCCCCUGCGCCCAUCGCCAACCACGCCGCGCCCUGGAGAUGCGCAGGCCGCGCGCACUGCGCCGUGCCCGAGCGACACCGAAGACCCCGCGGACGCACCGUUCGCUAAGCCGACCGACCCCGCGCUGAGGAUCCCGCACCCCUGCAGCGCUCCACCCACAACACGCGCCCGACUGUCGCGAUCCGAGCAAUCGAACCGCCCCGCACAGAGCCGCCCCGCACGCGUCCGUUUCUUCCGUCGCAUGUAAUGGAGCUUUCACUGCGACCGUUACUCUCUCCCCACAUUCAUCCUCCAUUAAAAUCAACGCCAUUGAUAGCCAUGAAACACCCCUGACGACCUCUGCUCUCCCUCCCUAUCUCUAUAAAACCCCAGCCAAACUCUCUCCUUCUCCCUGCCCAACCUCGCUCUCUCUUCUCGCGUCUCCCUCGCUCUUGCAGUGUAGUUCGCUGGAGUUCGCCGCCAUGAAGUUCGUCGCCGGACUGUCUGUGUUCGUUUGUCGUUCAACGAAGCUCCAUCCGUGCCUACGCGCUGUCCGUCGUUCGCCGUCCGUCCUGGAGUCCGUGAAGCUCGCUCACGCAGCACCCAAACAACCAUGCCCACGCUGUUCGCCGUCAUCCGUUCACCCAAGGUUGAAGACAACCCCGAAAUAUUUAUCAUAUUUUGAAUUUAUUUUGUGAGAUAUUGAUGUGAUUUGGCGAUUUGCGUGUACAGUUUUAGAGAUUCGCGAUGUAUACAUGUAACCAAAAUCGAACCCCACGAUAAUAUUUUAAAUAUGCGUAUGAUUUUAUAGUUCUAAAAAGAAACAUGGUCACUAGUCACUACCGCAGCGAUUUUCAUACUAGAAUACAUUUACGGAUUUGAUUUCACUUUAACGUGUGGAGCGAUAAUUGGUUAGUAUUGUUAUAAGUAUAAUCUUAGUGAUAUAAGAAAUUAAAAUAGAUAUUAAGCCAAGUAUUUCCGUGAAAAAUGUAUAGAUUUCACUGUUCAUAAUAAAUGUAUUCAUAAGUAUAGCACCUAUUUACUUAGAAUAGUAAAAUGCUCAUUUAUGUUAUAAUAACCAUGAAUAGGUUAUUAAAAGUCCCAUUUAGUAAUUUAUAAUUAAUUCUUAGUAUAUUAAUGUUAGAGGAAUUAAAUAAACAAUUUUUAGUUAUACGUAUAAAUUCUAUUUAGAAAAGAAAGGAGAAAACGAAAUAGUAGAAUUUUAUAAUAAUAUUAAAAUAACUUAAUUAGGCACUAAUGCUUUCCCAAUAAAGAAAUUGAUAGUUAUGUUGGUAAAUAUAUGUUUCUUACUAAAGAAUUAGAGAAUUUGUUUCUAAGUGUAAAACGACCUUUUAAUAGACAUCAUGAUUUUGAUUUAAUAAGAUUCGUUAUAGAUGUUUAAGUAUAGCCGUACUAAAUAGUAAUAUGUCAUAUAACUUUUCUAAUAAUGAUAUAAUGGCUUAAUUAAGUGCUCACACCGUCAUAACUAAAAUGAUAGUUAAUAAUAUACCAAUAAAUAUAGUAUUCAUUUUAAUUAUCUAGAUCAUUUGUUCCUACAAUAGAAUUAAAGAUAAUUAAUAGAUUAAUUAUCCUUUAUCAUAAUUUAUUAAUCAAACCUAUAGUCAAUUUGUUCUUAAUUAGAUUUAUGGCACGAUUAAUGUUUCCAUAGAAUUUAGUUCACAUUAUAUAUGGAUCACUUAGUUUUUCCUAAAGGAUAAAAUAAAGUAAUAAGAGUUUAAGUUCUUUUAUAACUUAAAAUGUUACUUUAUAUAUUGACUUCGAAUAUAAUAAUAUAGGCUAUGUGUUUUCAAAUAAAAUAAAAGAUAGUUAUUUGUUUAUUAUCUUUUGCAUGAAAAUCCACUUAAGGCCCAUAACCUAACUCGUCUUAAAUAAGUGAUUAAUAAUAUGAUCUUUUCACAUAAAACCUGUUUAGGCUUAUAUCUUAAGGUCUUUUCAAAUAGAUGUUUUAUUAUAUGUUCCAUAAGGCUUCAUAAAAUAAUAAUGUAUUUCAUAACUCAUUAAUCUUAGAUAUAACGUAUAUCUUUUCUAAAAGGUUAAAUAGUUUUAAUAUUGCUAUAACGUGUUUUAUCGUCUUAUAAACCCUUAAUCUUAGACAUAUCACAUAUAACGUUUUAUAAAGGAUUAAUUUGGUGAACCUAAUAUUUGUAUAUUUUAAUUAAGACAUUUUUAAGCUCAUGUCUUGUUUUAUAAAGUAUAGAUCACACACUUUUCAAAAGAAUACCUUUUUAUUAUAACCCUUGCGUGUAAUGUUUUUUAAACGUGAACGCUCUUUUCGUUAGGCUUUCUUUUAGCUUUAUGUAUGGUGAAUGUUGUAUGUUAUUGAGUGGUGUUUGUUUCUUCUUGUUUGUUUGUGUGAUAUUCAGUGAUUGAUCUAAUAGUUGAGAAUCAAGUGCUAUUCCGUGGAAGAAUCUCAAGUUUUCUAUAAGCAAGGCAAGUGGACUUCUCCCUCUGCAUACUCUGUUUGAUCCCAAACAAUACAUUUAAUAAAGUUUAUUCUUUUGGAUAUAUAUGCAUAAUUUGACGGGUUACCUAUUUAGAUAACCUUUUCAACCUUAUUCCUUGUUCAAACCUGGGAAUUAUACUUUACUUUCGUAGCUAUGCUAUUGCUACAACUUAACUUUAUGCAGUCACUCCCGCUUAUGAUAUUAAUGUUCCAAAAUGGUAAGUUUACAUUAUUGUUGUUAACCCGAUGGUUAAAUAAGAUUAUUGCAUAUUAAUUGGAACAUGGAGUGACCACCUGGGAAAACAGUGCUACCAUGAGAACUAUCAUGGCUCUGGUCUUGGCUAAAUAACUAGGGAAGUCUUAUGUUGGGUGCUGGUCGUGGUUGACAGGAACGGGGGCACCUGGCAAGCUCUUAUAGUUCUGGCUCAGGAAGAUUGGAUACAGGCAUAAUUCCCAAAGCUUUACCCCGCAGUCUGGCUAUAAGUUGGUUACGUUAGGUGUGCUUUAUGCAGUUUGACCAUUUCCAACAUUUGCGUAUUGAGGACUCUAGGGAGAAGCCUCGUAGUGAGACCCUAGCCAUUCACCUCGAAAGUGAAUACGAGUCUAGCUAACCCGGGCUAGAAGGGAAUCGCGACUCAUGGGUAAAGAUGCACCACCUCUGCAGAGUGUAAAACUGAUAUAUCAACCGUGCUCACGGUUAUGAGCAGCCUGGACUCCUCACAUGAUAAUUGAACUUGAAGAUGGAAAUAAAUCGAUAUCCGGUGAUCUGCCAAUGGUUUGUUUAAGUGGUUUCACUUAAGUGUUUUUGAUAUACUCUUACACUUUUGUUUAAUGGGAAUACUUGGGAUUCACACUUAUUAGUAAGACAGGUGUUGUUAAUAAAACGUUGACCAACUAAAAUGCUUACUGCUCAGCCUUAGCCUCAUCUUGUUAUACCUGCAUUAGUUUUUCCCCCACUUGCUAAGCCCCGACCAUAAGUGAGCUCACCCUUGCUUAAUUUUGAUCAGAAGUUUGCAGAUGAAGAUUUUGAUGGUGAACUCCAUGGAUGCUAGUCUAGUGAUACCCCGGUCAUCUUCCUGUGGAUGGAUGUCCUUGUUUUGCUGUACUUUGAUGAAUAAAGGUUAAGACAUUAUGUCUGUUCAAAGUGUAAUAUGUUAAUAUAAUUGUUAUUUACGCUUUUAUGCAUUGUUCUUUUGAUAUAUUACACUUGUGACGUCAACAUAUGUGUGGAAUGAUCCUAGCACACAUAUGCUAUGCACCCGGCUCUGCCCCUUAGAAACGGGUGUGACAAAAGGCCACGGGUCGCGCGGCGGAACGACGGUCGCCUUAUCGGCCAUCUCCGAGCGGAAGCGGUGGAGGCGGAGGGGAUGAGGUGUGCGGUUUUCUCUUCUCUGACUAUUCUCUUAUGUCGUGGAAACAAAAGCAGAAGGCAAGCGCAAAUGGCAGGGUAAAGAACCACCGUCGGCCCCUCUUCCGGGCAUAUAAAGGCUCGGGCGAGAUCCACCCAAAACUUCGCCCGAACCCGUCGCGAAAUUCAAACUCGAAGGUGAAACGGUUUUUAUGUUCCUCGAACGACUCGCGCACGCGCAACAGAUGCCCCGCGAAUCGCCCGUCCCGUCGCAUUAACUCUGGCAGGCGAAGCGGGCGCCGUUUCGUCUCUGUCAUGAUGACCGCCUCAAAAAAGGUGCGUCACAUUGUUUAAAUUUAUAUCCUUUUUCCUUUUUUCUCUCUCUCUCUUGCCAUAGGGAUCGAGAAAAGAUGAUAUUUCGAAAGGAUCCUUCUAAGUGAAGGAAGCGGGCCCCGAGCCCUCCUACUGAUCAGGGGUUCGAAGGUUGCGCCCUGCAGGGUUUGGCAACCGCCCCAGAGCACUCGGGCUUCGAGCCCUUUACUGAUCAGGGGUUCGAAGGCUAGCCCCUUGGAAGGGUUCGACAGCCGCCCCAGAGCAUGCAGAGUCAGGGAUGACCCUGGGUACUGUAAACCCUAAAACUAAGCUAAGAGUUUGGGUAUUCCUCUUAUGUCUUUUAUGUAUUUUAUGAGGAAUAAUACUACGAAGUUGAGUAAACAUAAAAUAGGAAUACCUUCAAUCUAAUUCUCCGCAAGAAAUUUAAAGAAUACCCUUAAAUAUAUUCAAGAUUAAGUGAUUCUUAGUAAAAGAGAAUACAUUAUUUGCCCCUAAAUAAGUAAGAUAAUGAGUAUUAAUUUUAGCUAGCUUGAAAUUUGAUCAUAUACUCAAAAAUAAUGUCUUUCCUAAAAUAAAAUAAAAUGUGUACAUUGAGCCUUUGCCUAAACCAAGGAAUAAAAUAAUCUGGGUAAAUAUAUAAAAUACAUACACUUUGUAUUCAUGCCGAGUAUUUCUUUGAUUGUGCAUAUAGCUAGACUCAAGAUCUGCACUCAAAUAUAAAUUGGGAUUUAAAUUUUGAAUUUGAAGUUGAAAGUAGAAAAGAAAAAGAAAUAUGAAUGAACAAAAGAAAAAGAAAAGAAUUUUUCCAUAGCUUGGGCCGUUUUUCUCGUGCGUCGGCCCAAGUAACCUUCAACCGCACAGCCCAGCUCCUGCGCGCCCUUCUGACCGGUGGGCCCGCUGCGUCAUCGACUAUCCACCAUCUCGGCUGUCCCGGCCACUCCUGUGCGGGUCCCGCUCGCCAGACGUCCCUUCCACCACGCGCGCUCACCAGGCCACUGCCCGUGGGCCCCGUCCGAAUGGGUCGUCUUCCCCGAACGACUCCACGCGAAUACCGCGGGCAGCGCGCAACAAACCGGGUAUUCCGCGCUAUCCUGGCCCACCCCCCAUCGCGGACUCCGGUCCCAGCUAUAAAAUGCUCGGUCCCGCGACCCUCCCAUCGACCAUAGGCGAGAAGCACACAAAACCAGCGCCGAGCUGCAUCGGCAAGCAGAGGCAGAGAGAGGAAAAGCGUGAUGCGUCCGCCGCGGGGAGAAAAAGUCCGAUUCACCAAUGUCGGGCCCUCAGGUGCGGGGUAGGAAGUGUCGCCAGGGCAUGUGGACCUUGCGGCAUGCACGAUUGAGCUUGGAGUUGCACCAUGGGGCGAAUUAUUGCUCGCCGACGUUUAUGCUCCACCGCGAUUCCAUGCCCAGUCGCGGGUGGAUGGCUCUACGGUAUAAUGGAGGGUAAGUUUCCUUCCUCUGGCUUCAUCUUCAUCCCCUGGUCGUUUUGCGCCUUUCAAAUUGGAGUUGGGAUUACCUGGGCCACGGAUUGGUGGUCGCCCGCGAAGACCCCGCCGCGGUGGCCGGCGGCCGACCAGGUCGAUAAUGCAUGGUGUAGCGGCCGAGCUCCGAGAUUGGUGGGGGAAUCAGUGAAGCUUGAGAUCCGUCGUGGGCAUCUGCUAGCCAAACCACCGUGGGCGCGUUGUUUGCAGGCGAUUGGAUGCACCAGGGUUAUUGAUUUCGUCGCCGGGGCCUCUUCACCCCCCGUGGAACCACCGUGCGCCAUCGAGGCUCGGCGACGGGAGCUGGGAGGUGUGGAUGUGGCCGUGGGAUCCCCAGCCGACGGCUGGGAUUGGAUCUGGGAAAAGAUGGCCUGGUUGCCGUUGAUUUGAUGAUGGGUGGCCAAGAUUAGCAGUUGGUACUGAUUGUGUCGGUGGUGUGCGCGACCGCCCGAUAUGGAUCGUGGGGAUGAGAUUGGAUCGUGACCAAAUUCGAUCUGGGCCUUCAAGACUGAAGCAGACGGGUAGGAUUAUAUCACGCAUACCUUUUCACGCGAUUUAAUCUGGGCCGUUGAAUCGAAUCGGACGGCCGAAGCCUAUCCAUACCCCUUCGCGCUGGUGCUUUACAAAUGAGACCCUGAAAUUUUAGGAUAUAAACCCGCAAUUCACCCUGACUGUAGUUUGAGUCUUAGGAAUGUUGCGCAGAACCCCCUGGGCUUCUCUGUUUUUAUGUGCGCAACCAGGGAGCAGAGAAGUUUAAUAUUUAAAUAUAGAAGUUGAUUUUUUGUACACAAAUAAUUCUAGAACUUGUGAAAUUCAUAGUAAAUUCAUUUUAACUCAAAAUUGAGUCAUUCCAGUUGCAAUAAUUUUGUAUUAAUAUUGUUUAUCACCUAGUACCUUUGUUUAGCCAUGAAACUUGAAUUAAAAUUGUUCAUUUGGAUUAAUCUAUUCUAAGCACUAAAUAAAUUCAGAAAACCAUAACUUCGUAACCGUAGCUCCGAAUUUAGUGAAUCUUGCGCCCACGAUCUCGUAGCAACACAUAGAUUAUUAUUAUUCAGUUUUUGCUUAUGAUUGAUGUGAUGUUAAUUUUGCCUAUGCACUGCUUGUUUGUAUUGCUACGACUAGCGUGAGGUCACGUGUCAUCUGAAGAGCAAGUUGGUACCUGGAAUCUCAAGUCCCAGGCAAGUUGUGCCCUUGAUCACUUAUUUUUACCCACUCAUGUUCUAAUUAAUCAUAAUGAUCUGCAUAGGUUAAUUUUGAUGGGACCCAAUAGGUUACCCUAGUUUGAUUAUCUUCAUACCUUGUUUACUACUGAACUUUUUGGGUAGUACUUGCUAGUGCUUUAUGUGGUUUUGGGUAUGAAGAUACAUAAUUCAUGAUUAUACUUUUGUUAUCCGUUGUUAUUUACUGUUCAUGAUAAGAUCAUUAUGUUAAUUGGAACAUUGAGCGACCACCCGGGAAAACAGUGCUACCACAAGGGUUUAUGGACGCCCUUGGCUGAUUAAUUAGGAAAGCUAGUGGAGGACUACCUUACCCGAAAGGGGCAAGGGCAGUAGGGGAGUGGUCAGUGUACGGUGGUCCUUGGUUGAUUUUGUUGCGAUGGCGGUCAGGCAAGGGAUCCCUGCAUUGGAGCUUCCUAUAAACUGUAGCGGGUUUUCUGAAGCUAGUGGAACUUUGUAAAGGCCUCGUAGUGUUACCCUGCCUCGCCUCCUCGGUAGAGGUGUAUGGGAAGUCGCGAUCCCUUGGUAGAUGGGUAAUAUGACUUGUGGGUAAAGAUGUGCAACCUCUGCAGAGUGUAAAACUGGUAUACUAGCCGUGCUCACGGUCAUGAGCAGCUCGGACCCUCAAAUGAUUAAUUUAUGGAACUAAAUUCAAUUUGUCAUAUGCAUUGCAUCGCAGGUGAUGUUAUUACUUUUCUUAAUUGGGUUGGUAUUUACUUACACUUAGUAACUGCUAAUAAAAUUUUGACCAACUUUAAAAGCAAUGCUCAGUUCUAACCAUCCUCUUUGGUAAGCCUUACACUUCACGUGAUCUCCUACCUUUGGCGAGUUCAUGCACAUUAUUCCCCACAACUUGUUGAGCGAUGAACGUAUGUGAGCUCACUCUUGCUGUCUCACACCCUCUCAUAGGUCAAGAACAGGUACCACAGGAUGAGGCGCAUGGAGGAUGUUGCGAUGUGUUCGUGAGAGGUCUAGGUCGUCGUCUCCCAGUCAACUUUGGGUUGCUGGACCGUUGUCUCCUUAUAAUGUAAUUAUUUAUUUUGUAUAGAACUCUUGUUAUGUAGUAAAGAUGUGACAUUCGAUCCUGUGCCAUGAUUCAUCAUAUGUGUGAGACUUGGUCCCAGCACACCUGGUGAUUAUGUUCGCGCCCGGGUCUUGGUGUCCCGAAACCCGGGUAUGACAGAAGUGGUAUCAGAGGAAUGUUGACUGUAGGACGAAACCUAGAUAGAACUGGAAAACCCUUACCUACUUACCCUACUCUGAUUCUUAUCUAAACUUAUCUUAAUCUUGUCUCAUCUAUUUCCGCUUCACUCUGAUUAUUCUUACCUUUUCUUUCUAAAGACAAAUGUGGAUUUCACACUUUGAAAUCCUGUGCCUAAAGUGACUUUAGGAAUAGGAGACCUACUCAUAGGAGCAAAAACAAAACUAUUUUUUUCUAUACUCUUGAGUGCUUGUUCUUAUGAUACUUGUCUGAUUUGGAUCUUUGAUUGAGUGUGAUGGGUUAUGGAUUAAUGUCCACAAUUACAUCUGCAUAUAUAUCUAGGCAUAAUGGAAAAUGCUUAUAAAAAUAACUAGAUUAUCCUUAUUAAAAUAUAUCUAGCCUAAUAGAUCCAUCUUAUUUUAGAAAAAAAACUCUCUCUUACCUUAAUAGAUUCAUCUUAUCAUGAAAAUAUUUUAUCCUUAUCCUAAUAGAUCUAACUGGCCUCAACACAUUCUACCUUGUCCUUAUGGAUUCAUCUUGCCCUAAUAAGCAUAUUUACCCCACACUAGUAACAACCAUGAUCUAAUCCAAAGUAAUUAGAUAUUACCUAGUUUAAUCUAGUUCUACCCAAUCUAAUCUAAUGUGAUCUAAUCUAGUGCGAGUUACUUAAUGAUGGUACAAAGGAUAAGGCCAUACUCCAAAUUCACUUAAGCCUAAAUUGGUGACUUAGAGCAACUAAGCCCUACACGACAACUUGACCUACAUAAUAGGUUACAUAACUUAUCCAACCAACCUAGAAGCAAAACAACAAGACAGACAAUGCUUAAACUUAUUUAACUCAUAACCGCCUCCUACCCUACUUAGGGUACAUACGAAUCUGCCUUAACUACAUGUCCCUAAUUCAGAUAACAACUUCAAGAACAAAGAUCGAAGAUGAUCGGCUUCAUCAAAUCAAGAAAGGAUAAGAUUCAAGCUAGAUCCUCAAGGAAAUCAAGAUCCACAAUCUUGGAUGGAGUCUUUUCUUACCCUACUCCUUCUUACCCAAACCAACAUACGCUUUAAAAAUAUCUUUUACCCUACAUAAUAAAGUGGAUAUACAUAUACCCAUGUUUUCGUAAUCACCUGCUAAUUUGUAUUAUAAACUUGAACAAAAAAAUCUUUUGGUAUUAAAACCCCAUAAAAAUUGAAACAUAGAUUACAAACCAAUCUUGGUAUAAUCCUUUUUCCUACAAAUCUCGAGGACGAGAUUUCUGUUAAGGGGGGUAGGAUUUGUAAACCCUAAAACUAAGCUAAGAGUUUGGGUAUUCCUUUUAUGUCUUUUAUGUAUUUUAUGAGGAAUAAUACUACGAAGUUGAGUAAACAUAAAAUAGGAAUACCUUCAAUCUAAUUCUCCGCAAGAAAUUUAAAGAAUACCCUUAAAUAUAUUCAAGAUUAAGUGAUUCUUAGUAAAAGAGAAUACAUUAUUUGCCCCUAAAUAAGUAAGAUAAUGAGUAUUAAUUUUAGCUAUCUUGAAAUUUGAUCAUAUACUCAAAAAUAAUGUCUUUCCUAAAAUAAAAUAAAAUGUGUACAUUGAGCCUUUGCCUAAACCAAGGAAUAAAAUAAUCUAGGUAAAUAUAUAAAAUACAUACACUUUGUAUUCAUGCCGAGUAUUUCUUUGAUUGUGCAUAUAGCUAGACUCAAGAUCUGCACUCAAAUAUAAAUUGGGAUUUAAAUUUUGAAUUUGAAGUUGAAAGUAGAAAAGAAAAAGAAAUAGGAAUGAACAAAAGAAAAAGAAAACAAUUUUUCCAUAGCUUGGGCCGUUUUUCUCGUGCGUAGGCCCAAGUAACCUUCAACCGCAUAGCCCAGCUCCUGCGCGCCCUUCUGACCGGUGGGCCCGCUGCGUCAUCGACUAUCCACCAUCUCGGCUGUCCCGGCCACUCCUGUACGGGUCCCGCUCGCCAGACGUCCCUUCCACCACGCGCGCUCACCAGGCCACUGCCCGUGGGCCUCGUCCGAAUGGGUCGUCUUCCCUGAACGACACCACGCGAAUACCGCGGGCAGCGCGCAACAAACCGGGUAUUCCGCGCUAUCCUAGACCACCCCCAUCACGGACUCCAGUCCCAGCUAUAAAAUGCUCGGCCCCGCGACCCUCCCAUCGACCAUAGGCGAGAAGCACACAAAACCAGCGCCGAGCUGCAUCGACAAGCAGAGGCAGAGAGAGGAAAAGCGUGAUGCGUCCGCCGCGGGGAGAAAAAGUCCGAUUUACCAUUGUCGGGCCCUCAGGUGCGGGGUAGGAAGCGUCGCCAGGGCAUGUGGACCUUGCGGCAUGCACGAUUGAGCUUGGAGUUGCACCAUGGGGCGAAUUAUUGCUCGCCGACGUUUAUGCUCCACCGCGAUUCCAUGCCCUGUCGCGGGUGGAUGGCUCUGCGGUAUAAUGGAGGCUAAGUUUCCUUCCUCUGCCUUCAUCUUCAUCCCCUGGUCGUUUUGCGCCUUUCAAAUUGGAGUUGGGAUUACCUGGGCCACGGAUUGGUGGUCGCCCGCGAAGACCCCGCCGCGGUGGUCGGCGGCCGACCAGGUCGAUAAUGCAUGGUGUAGCGGCUGAGCUCCGAGAUUGGCGGGGGAAUCAGUGAAGCUUGAGAUCCGUCGUGGGCAUCUGCUAGCCAAACCACCGUGGGCGCGUUGUUUGCAGGCGAUUGGAUGCACCAGGGUUAUUGAUUUCGUCGUCGGGGCCUCUUCACCCCCCCGUGGAACCACCGUGCGCCAUCGAGGCUCGGCGAUGGGAGCUGGGAGGUGUGGUUGUGGCCGUGGGAUCCCCAGCCGACGGCUGGGAUUGGAUCUGGGAAAAGAUGGCCUGGUUGCCGUUGAUUUGGUGAUGGGCGGCCAAGAUUAGCAGUUGGUACUGAUUGUGUCUGUGGUGUGCGUGACCGUCCGAUAUGGAUCGUGGGGAUGAGAUUGGAUCGUGAUUAAAUUCGAUCUGGGCCUUCAAGACUGAAGCAGACGGCUAGGAUUAUAUCGUGCAUACCCCUUCACGCGAUUUAAUCUGGGCCGUUGAAUCGGAUCGGAUGGCCGAAGCCUAUCCAUACCCCUUCGCGCUGGCGCUUUACAAAUGAGACCCUGAAAUUUUAGGAUAUAAACCCGAAGUUCACCCUGACUGUAGUUUGAGUCUUAGGAAUGUUGCGCAGAACCCCCUGGGCUUCUCUGUUUUUACGUGCGCAACCAGGGAGCAGAGAAGUUUAAUAUUUAAAUAUAGAAGUUGAUUUUUUGUACACAAAUAAUUCUAGAACUUGUGAAAUUCAUAGUAAUUUCAUUUUAACUCAAAAUUGAGUCAUUCCAAUUGCAAUAAUUUUGUAUUAAUAUUGUUUAUCACCUAGUACCUUUGUUUAGCCAUGAAACUUGAAUUAAAAUUGUUCAUUUGGAUUAAUCUAUUCUAAGCACUAAAUAAAUUCAGAAAACCAUAACUUUGUAACCGUAGCUCCGAAUUUAGUGAAUCUUGAGCCCACGAUCUCGUAGCAACGCAUAGAUUAUUAUUAUUCAGUUUUUGCUUAUGAUUGAUGUGAUGUUAAUUUUGCCUAUGCACUGCUUGUUUGUAUUGGUACGACUAGCGUGAGGUCACGUGUCAUCUGAAGAGCAAGUUGGUACCUGGAAUCUCAAGUCCCAGGCAAGUUGUGCCCUUGAUCACUUAUUUUUACCCACUCAUGUUGUAAUUAAUCAUAAUGAUCUGCAUAGGUUAAUUUUGAUGGGACCCAAUAGGUUACCCUAGUUUGAUUAUCUUUAUACCUUGUUUACCACUGAACUUUUUGGGUAGUACUUGCUAGUGCUUUAUGUGGUUUUGGGUAUGAAGAUACAUAAUUCAUGAUUAUACUUUUGUUAUCCGUUGUUAUUUACUGUUCAUGAUAAGAUCAUUAUGUUAAUUGGAACAUGGAGCGACCACCCGGGAAAACAGUGCUACCACAAGGGUUUAUGGACGCCCUUGGCUGAUUAAUUAGGAAAGCUAGUGGAGGACUACCUUACCCAAAAGGGGCAAGGGCAGUAGGGGAGUGGUCAGUGUAGGGAGGUCCUUGGUUGAUUUUGCUGCGAUGGCGGUCAGGCAAGGGAUCCCUGCAUUGGAGCUUCCUAUAAACUGUAGCAGGUUUUCUGAAGCUAGUGGAACUUUGUAAAGGCCUCGUAGUAUUAUCCUGCCUCGCCUCCUCGAUAGAGGUGUAUGGGAAGUCGCGAUCCCUUGGCAGAUGGGUAACAUGACUUAUGGGUAAAGAUGUGCAACCUCUGCAGAGUGUAAAACUGAUAUACUAGCCGUGCUCACGGUCAUGAGCAACUCGGGCCCUCACAUGAUUAAUUUAUGGAACUAAAUUCAAUUUGUCAUAUGCAUUGCAUCCCAGGUGAUGUUAUUACUUUUCUUAAUUGGGUUGGUAUUUACUUACACUUAGUAACUGCUAAUAAAAUUUUGACCAACUUUAAAAGCAAUGCUCAUUUCUAACCAUCCUCUUUGGUAAGCCUUACACUUCACGUGAGCUCCUACCUUUGGCGAGUUCAUGCACAUUAUUCCCCACAACUUGUUGAGCGAUGAACGUAUGUGAGCUCACUCUUGCUGUCUCACACCCCCCACAGGUCAAGAACAGGUACCACAGGAUGAGGCGCAUGGAGGAUGCUGCGAUGUGUUCG